Molecule: long non-coding RNA, 59085 nt
Filed under: Eucalyptus grandis
Lineage: Eukaryota; Viridiplantae; Streptophyta; Magnoliopsida; Myrtales; Myrtaceae
Description: long non-coding RNA (EGRA_LNC006598)
Source: RNAcentral
AAGGCAUCGCUUGGAGAGGAUGGCUCCACAAGGUGUUCAUUCUGGACUUCGUGUUCGCUAGCCAGUUUCUCCUCCUUCAGCCUCUACGGACACCAGACCAUCGAAAAACACUCCAAAGAAGCAGGGCACCAUAAAGUCAAGAAGAUGGGAUCACAAUCAAAAUAGGUAGCUUCUUCAAUCACCUGAUAAAUCAAAAAAGGACCUGCAUCGCCAUUUGCAGUUCAGAAUGUGUAUAGCAAAGGCUAUUAUUAAGCUAAAACUAGUCAUCAACAUCUAACUAAACGUGACUGCCAAAUGAAGUAAAAUGAAGACUAUAUAACCUGUUUUAAUCUGAAAACUGAAGAGAAGGCUGCAUAACCUCUUGAGCGCCCGUAUUUAUCAACUCAAACAAGACUGAAAAAGGGACUCAGGCAAGAAUUUUUCAGAGAGAGAGAGAGAGAGAGAGAGAGAGAGAGAGAGAGAGAGAGAGAGAGAGAGAGACUCAUGUAGGUGGAUGCCACACGAUCCAACAAUCCUUACCUGCAUCUGAAGACCAGUCCUUCCAAAUUAUCCAUAUAAUAAACGCCAAGCAAGAAAAAUCAUACCACCCGUACCCAACAGAACCUGCACAGCAGAAACAGGCAAACCUAGUCGAUGCCAGAGGUAAUUCAAUUUAACUCUAGAUCCGAAUGAUAUCAAGCCAUCUACUUGCAACAUUAAGGCUGGGAGACACUAUAAGCCCAGUCUACGCACUAUGACAUCCUUUGUGAUUUUCUUCUCAAUGACUUCGGUGUUUCUACAACUAUACAUAUAUCAGGCAUUAGGAAAAACUAAAUCAAAUGUACACUUUUAUGUGAGUAAAAGAACACCCCAAGUGUCAAAACUUGAAACAAUGGGAUAUUUAAAUAUCAAAAGUUAGAAAGUGACACUUAAGUGUCACUUUUAAAAAAAAAUUAGACACUUAAGUGCCACAUCCGGUGAACCCCGCUGGAAAUCUUACGUGAUAAUUUUUUAUUAAUUUUGCUCACUUACGUCGCUUGCUGGAAGGUUGACUCAGCAAAGAAACACAAAAACGAUGUCAUUUUCGCACUUAAAGAAUUUUAAUAUAAAAAUUAAUUAAAUCAAAUUUAAAACCCAAUAUAUAUAUAAGAAGAAGGAAGAUGAAUAGCAGCCGGUAGCUAAGGGCUCAGCACUUGCCGUCACCACCUCCCCAUUGUUGCGGGGAAGGUGGGGGGAGGGUCGGUCGAGGUUGCCGAGCCCUGGCCGCCUGCUGCUGUUCAUCUUCCUCCUUCCUUUUUUUCUUAAUUUGGUUUUUAAUUUAAUUUAAUUAAUUUUUAUAUUAAUUAUUUACCUAUGUUAGCAGCAAAACGACGUCGUUUUGGCACUAAUCUAAUCACGUUAGCGUGCAAAAUGACGUUGUUUUGCACUUGGCUUGUCGAAAAUUCGUCACAUUAGCGUUUUGGCCGGAUUUUUUUGCCAUUGGCACUUAACUAAUCCAUUUUACUUCGAUUGUGGCAUUUAAAUAUCACUUUCCUAACUUUUAGCACUUAAAUAUUCCCUUGUGCAAAAUUUUUGUACUUUAGAUAUGUCGGACUCCUUUUAUGUGCAUCAUAAAACGAUGAUGAAGUAAAAAUUACGUCUACUUCAAUUGAUAUGAAACUGGUAGAUAACCAGAAAAACUAUAAGCUCUGGCUAGGUACUUAUUAUAUAUAAUCAUUGCAAUAUACUUGUUGGUCUAUGUGAAGAUGUUAAUAUACUUUCAAACCUAAAGGAGGACUUUCUAUUUGGGUAUCUAAUUGGAAAAAAAGAUGUCCAUAUUAGACAAAAGAAACCAGCAGAUGUUCAGAAAAAAUCACAAGUGGGCAUUUUUUGUGUUCAAUAGGCGCUGCUAAUUUGAAGGCCUCUUGGAGGUCACAUGAUAGUCUAAAGCCUAAGCAACUGGCUUUCUAUUUGAGAAAUUUAUUGAUCAUCGUUGCCAUUGAUUUUGCAAAGAGACAUUGGAAAGAGAAUGUUAGAUGAGGAAAAUUAGAAUGAAUAGUAUUGGUUGUGUUAAUUCAGUGUUUUCAUUUUUGCCAUCAUAGUACGGAGUUGGAAAUAAAGAUGCAUAAAGCAACAGCUGUCCUUGUCCACCCUCCUUUCAAACUUCAUUGUAGCAUCAAUUGACCCAGAAAGUUCGGUUUAAACAUUCCACGACAUUUUAAAUGAUCAUCGCGUAAGGUAAUCGUAUUAUACCCUCCCCAAAUAGAAAACUUCCUGGUGUCAAUAAUCCAUUACCCUGACUUCCACUCAAAGACAGAGCCGGAGAGAGAGAGAGAGAGAGAGAGAGAGAGAGAGAGAGAGAGAGAGAGAGAGAGAGAGAGAGAGAGAGAGAGAGAGCGGAACUUGUAACUGAUGGUGUAACUUCUUAAGUAUUCAUAACAGCGAAGCUCUAGCAUAUAGCCUAGGAGAAAGAUGGAAACAACAAGGUAAAGGUUCUAAAUAGCAACUUCUAUGAUCAUUAACGUACCGAUAGACACUAUUUAGAAUCGCCAUCCACGUGAGAAAAUAGGAUCAAAGAGCUUCCGUGGGAGAGACUACCUUCGAGGUCGAUUCGAUCGCAGGUCGCUGCACUAGCGAGGAAGCGAGAGAGAGAGAGAGAGAGAGAGAGAGAGAGAGAGAGAGAGAGAGAGAGAUUUUGUCCAGCCAGAGAGUGACUAUGGAAGCAUUUGGGUUCGUUGCAGAGAUGAUAAUUACGAAAAACAAAGAGGUGAGAAUUUGUUUGCUCUGCCCUGACAAUUAUUGGUAUUUCGCUCGUGUCCAAAUACCUUUCANNNNNNNNNNNNNNNNNNNNNNNNNNNNNNNNNNNNNNNNNNNNNNNNNNNNNNNNNNNNNNNNNNNNNNNNNNNNNNNNNNNNNNNNNNNNNNNNNNNNACAUCAUAAAACAAUGAUUAAGUAAAAAUUAUGUCCACUUUAAUUGAUAUGAAUCUGGUAGAUAACCAGAAAACCAUAAGCACUGGGCAGGUACUUAUUAUAUAUAAUCAUUGCAAUAUGCUUGUUGGCCUAUGUGAAGAUGUUAAUAUACUCUCAAGCCUAAGAGAAGGACUUCCUAUUCGAGUAUCUAAUUGGUAAAAAAAUGUCCAUAUUAGACAAAUAAACCAGCAGAUGUUCAGAAAAAAAGCACAAAUGGGCAUUCUUUGUGUGCAAUAGGUGCUGCUAAUUUUAAGGCCUCUUGGAGGUAACAUGAUAUUCUAAAGCCUGAGCAACUGGCUUUCUACGUGAGUAAUUGAUUGAUCAUCGUCGCCACUGAUUUUGCAUAGAGACACCAGAAAGAAACGUUAGACGAAGAAAAUAGAAUGAAUACUACCGGUUGUCUUAAUCAACAUAUUUCCAUUUUUGCCAUCAAUCUUCAGUUUAAACAUUCCAACGACAUCUGAAAUGAUCAUCGCGUAAAGUAAUCAUAUUGUAAUGUUAAACCCUCCCCACAUAGAAACCUUCCCAGUAUCAAUGAUCCACCACCCUGGCUACAGCUCAAAUACAGAGCCACAGAGAGAGAGAGAGAGAGAGAGAGAGCAAGGAUCUUGUAACCGAUGGUGUUACUUUUUAAGUAUUCAUAACAGCAAAGCUGUAGCAUAUAGCCUAGGAGAAAGAUGAAAACAACAAGGUAAAGGGUUCUAAAUAGCAAUUUCUUUGACAAAAAGAGUACCGGCAGUGUUUAUAAUCACCAUCCUCGCGGUAAAAUCAGGAUCAGCCGACCUCAGCUCAGCGAUGACUAACCCAGUGGGAGGAAAAACUUCUUACGACGCAUGAAACGAUCAAUUAAAGGGAGGCGGGGGGAAAACAUAGAGCCAGGAUACGGAAAAUGAACCAACUCCUCACAUCCAAAAGCCCAAAGCUAACACAUCCUCACGGUUCACGCCACCGGAUUUCCUCGCGAUUCAAGCACUUCGCGCACAAAAUUACAAAAAUGAGGUUAAACGCGACAGCUAGAAACGAACCCACGCAAAAUGACCGGAGACCCCUCGAUUUCGAAAGGAUCGCGAAGGCAUUGCCGAACUUAUCCUCACGACAGGUGAUCGGGCCGGAUAAUCGAGAAUUCCAUGGCACGUGAUCAUGAUUGGACCGUCUACGCCACCGCCCAUCGUUGGAGGGGGCCAACAACCUCAUUGGCCCUAGGUGGUGGAGGGGGGGCAGCCCUCGCCAGCCCGGGUGAGGCCACCGUUGGCCUAGGCAAGGUCGGGCGAGGCCACCGUCGGCCCAAGCAAGGUCAAGCAAGGCUCGCCCAAAUCUAGACAACGCCCUAUGGGUCACCUAGAUCUAAGUGAUGCCGGUCCUUGCCUGGGGCUGACCAAUGAGGCCUCACUUGGGGCUGGUGAGGUCUCGCCGGUCAUAGGGGAGGAUUGACGUCGCCCGAAUCUAGGCAACCCUCUUCUGGCGUUGAGGCAUCGCCUAGAUCUGGGCGAACCUCACUUAGGCCUAAGUUGAGGCGUCCUCCAAAUCUAGGUGAGCCUCAUCGGCCCUUGCCUAGGCUGGCAAUGGCCUCACCUGGACCGACGAGGGCCCUCCCCCACUUUGCUGCCUAAGGCUGACAACCUUAUUGGCCCCCUCUGACGAUGGGUGGUAGCGGCGUCAUGCCCAACACAAUCCCUGCCUUCAUUUUUCUUUGUUUUCAAUUUUGAUUUUUAAAUUGUUUUAGUUUUUAAAAAAAAAAUUUACUAUAAUAAACAUAAGAUUUGAAGAAAAAAGUAAUAUAAAAUGCCACGUAAGAUAAAUAAAUAAACUUAAAAAUGCUAUGUUAGCAUAUUCCGUUAGAUAAAUUGACGGUGUUAAUGCAAGGACUUGAUUGCACUAAUUUGACAAAUUUUAAGAUUUAAUUGCACUUUUUGAAAGUUUUAGGGUUCUACUGUACUUUUGUGACAAGUUUUAGGACUUAUAGUAUACAUAUCAUAUAUUUUUAUUAAGGGGAUCUUUGAUCUUUGAUAUGUGAUCGGGUAUAUUACGAUCACAAUAUUUUCUUAUUUAGUUGCUUAAUAAGUGUUUUUGAGGCACUUUUUAAGUAAAUCCUUUAUAAAUCUGGUCUUUAUACCUUUUUCAGACACUUUGUUGCUUCAGCUUGGAUCUUCAUAAAGAAAAACCUAGUGAAAAUUUCCAAGUAUUAUGCAAAGAAAGCAAUCGACCGGUAAACUUUUCGGGUUAGUACAUCAAUUUCUAAAUCUUUCAUAAAGGGGAAAGUUCAACGAGAUCCUCCCAUCAGGAAAUUUUUUUUGUUGUUAUAAAAAAUCACUUAAGUGCUCAUAUGACAAAUUAAAUAAGGUAUAGAUACUCUUUCUAAUAAAAAAAAUUUCAAGAUUCAACUAAACCAAUGAAAGGUUUAAGGCUUGAUUGCAUUUUUUGUAUAAGAUUUUGGACACAGUAUUUAUCUUUUUGGUCAUUGUAUCGUACCGAGUACAAGAGGAAAGAAGAAGGAUAGGCGGAUAUGUCACGCAUAUAUGGGUACCCGAAGGGAAGGUUAGGAUAAACAUCACCGGUCAGACCGGUUGCUUUUGGCCUUUCUUAUUUUCUUUCGUACUUUUGUUGCGUUUGGGCAAAGACGUACCUGGUUUCUUGUCUGACGAGUUCCAACCCAAACCACCAUUUAAAAAAAAAAAAAAUUAAAGAAAGAGUUGCGAGUCUCUCCUAGCUGUUUGACAUGGUAGGAAUAGUAAUAUGGAUUAGUAGUUGUUUAUUGCGAUAAUUAAGGGGGAAAGACACCAUAUAAUUAUGCCAAUCACGCUUGACUCCAUUCCUUUCACAUUAAUGAGAGGACUUCCUGUGCAAUUUUCCUGUUUUGCUUUCGUCUUGACUCAAAGUUGUCGGUCUCUUAUUUGCAUUUUCUUUCCUGCCCUCUUCCUUUUCUCAAUCUUCUCUCUGCUCAAAGUAUCACCGCAGGCCAUGGUCUCGCUUUACGGUCUCCCCUCCUUCUUUCUUUCAUUUUCCUUCGUUUUUCUAUCGCAAUUCUCAAACUUCAUUGACACUCAAGCUCAAGAUUAUGAUUACCUAGCUGCCACGAUUUCAACUCAGUGGGUGAAUAACGUAAUAGCUACUCACGUCACUCGACAUGUAGAUGGAUCGAUUGUGCAGGCAAUUCUACUCCGAGGCAAAGGAGGUUCUGGCCCUGCCUACGCUUGCAGCUUCUACUGUAAUGGUAAUUGCAACACUUUGCCUCUUUGUUGUUUUCAUCGUCACAGUUUAUGGUAGUGGCGUAACUGUUGAAUACACUAUUCCACAAGCAGUGUGAUCUGCCAAUAGAAACAAUCCUGUAAAGAUCGAAGCAACAUUGAAGCUCAAGUCCGAAGGUGAUUUGGUGUUGAAACAUGCUGAUGGUACGGUUGCUUGGUCCACAAAUACUUCUGGAAAGUCCGUUGUAGGCUUGAACUUGACAGAUUUGGGGAACCUCGUGUUGUUUGGUAAGGACAAUGUGGCUGUUUGGCAGUCUUUGAUGAGCUAACCGACUUGCUUUGUCCUUAGAAAAAAGUUGANNNNNNNNNNNNNNNNNNNNNNNNNNNNNNNNNNNNNNNNNNNNNNNNNNNNNNNNNNNNNNNNNNNNNNNNNNNNNNNNNNNNNNNNNNNNNNNNNNNNNNNNNNNNNNNNNNNNNNNNNNNNNNNNNNNNNNNNNNNNNNNNNNNNNNNNNNNNNNNNNNNNNNNNNNNNNNNNNNNNNNNNNNNNNNNNNNNNNNNNNNNNNNNNNNNNNNNNNNNNNNNNNNNNNNNNNNNNNNNNNNNNNNNNNNNNNNNNAUCGAUACAUGAAGUGGGCUCGGAUGGCAUUGAGAGUGUAUGUAUACAAUUGAUUGGUGAGCAUAAAGAAGUGCAAAUCUUUUCAUAGGGUUUGGCGAGGACUGUGCCUAUCCAACAAUGUGCGGGCGAUAUGGAAUUUGUUCCAAUGGGCAAUGUAAUUGUGAAAGCUAGUACGAGCACCUAGAGGGGAGUGAAUAGGUGUAAAAACAAAUUUCCCGAGAGAAGUGUGCAACACUAAUCAACAAUGGAUUAUGAAAAGGAAAUUAGACUCUUGUAAACAAAUUGAGUUACGAUCAAAGUAAAAGAGCGUAGGAGAGAGAAUAAGAACAUAGGGUUUAUAAUGUCGGCUUAAUCCAAGCCUACGUCCACUCUUCCGCACUGACAGCUCACUGGCUGGAUUUCACUAUGAAUUAAAAGAGUUGUUAUAGUAAAGCUCUUCCUUGAUUCCACUGUGUAGAGACUCUGCUACACUUCCUCAAGGUCUCACAAAGAUAUAAACUCUCUUUUAAGUACAAGAUUUCGCUCAACAAUUGAAUUGACUAAGAAACAAGGAGCUUUAGACUUUGGAAUUCUUCUAUCGCGCACAUACUUGAACAACUGGAAUGUCUUCCUUAUAUACUCUUUCAUGCCAUCACACCCAUCGACACUUACCAAAGGAGUUCUUCCAAUCUACCCGUUGGACAGAAUCAAUUAAGAAGAUUUCGAGUUAUUUAAGGAAUAUGACGAUAGCCCACCAAACUUGCUCGCCCAUACAAUCAGGAUCUAGGUUUCCAUAAGUAGAACCUUCCAAGUAUACUUUGCCAAUCAACAGAUCCAAAAUCCCUGAAUCAAUCUCAAUUUAAUUAAUGGAUUCCAACAUGUUGUAUCCAGCCAAGAGAUCUUCUUCAGUCGAUAGAAUCAAAUCCUCAACGAAACACUCAAUUCUGGAUAAGCCUUCUUUGACGGUCUAGAAACUGUCAAUGAGGAUAGACUUUGGGUCUUGAAUCUGACAGUCCGGAGGUUUUCAGAUUUUGAUGGAAGAGUCUACAAGUCUUUAGACUAGAUUGAUGGAAACGUUUUGUCAACUUCAAAACACUCAAGGAAGUUUUCUCCAACAAUCUCUCCCUUUUUGAUGGUGACAAAACUUUCCUACAGAUUUGGAUAACUUUGACCUGCAAAACAAUACUCAAGCAAACAUGGAUAUUUCACAAAAGAUAAUUGGCUUAGUAAAGAUAACAUUAAAAUCUGCAUCCACAGAAAAUAGGUUAGUCCUGUAAACGAGCAACUAUCUUUGCCAUAAAAUACUAGUAGUGCUUAAGAUAAACAAAUAGUCAAAUCCAAAUCUAGUCCAAAUCCAAACAGUCAAACACAAAAGUAAAGUCAAUCAAAUACAAAAGUCACAAAAGUCAAGAGUUCAAGAGUUUAAAUCUCAAAUCUGCACGACAUCUCUCCCCCUUUUUGUUAGCAUUAAAAAGGUAGAGAUGAAACAAGAAUGGAAUUAUGAUUGCUUGGGAACACAAACAAGCUGGAAAUCUCUCAUUGACUGGACAAUCCCUUCCAGCUUUUUCAAAUCUUCUUUCAGCUGAGUCACAUCUUCACCCUUGGCAUUUACUUGAACUUGAAGAGCAAGGGCAUGGAGUUGAUCAUGCAAAGAAAUUGAAGAGGUUUGACCUGCAUUUUGCAAGUUCUGUACUUUACAUCCCAGAGUAUAAAUUUGGCCUCGCAUCUCCAAGAGAACAUCAAGCACUCUGUGAAAGUCUGCUGAAUUGUCAGUCUGAGUACUGGCUUCUGCUCGAUCAGAUGGUGUAUUGGUAGAUGAUGGGCAAGUUAGCAUGAUCACGCAGAUUGGGCGAUGAAACCUCAUGGCCUUUCUCAGGAAAUUGAGAAGCGUAGAUGUCUUCUGGAUCUGCUGGAGAACGACUUACUCCUUCACUGGUGGCAGCAAUUGAGGACAUACCUCUUUUCUCAGGAUCUCCCCCUGUUUCAAUGCCUUUAGGCUGUGAGAAGUACUCCUCAUGUUCUGCUUCUUCUUGUCCUCCUCUACCCUCUUCUUCCUCUUCCACAAUCCUUUCCUCCUCUGCUUCUUUCUCCAAUGAUUCUCUCUCUCCAGUCCUCUGUUCAAUCUCAUCCUUGUCUUGUUCCUGUCUCUCCUUUGUCUCUGGAACAGAACGACUCAAGUUCUUCAAUGUAAGAGCAUAAAUUGUGAUAUCAUCCUCAUCCUCUUCAUCCUCCAAGAUGAGUGCUCUUCUUUUAUUGGAUGAAGCAACCAUAGGCUCCUUCCUUUUCCGCUUUGCAGCCGAAGAGACUGGGUGAGUCUUGACAAGGGUUUUCACCUUGAAUUGCUCCAAAGCCUUGUCGAGUUCCUUCAGACGCAUUUUAGAGACCAUUUUCAGUCCCACCACCAUUUGAUCGCAUGUUCGAACAUAAAGAAUUCGGAGAGGCUGAAUGUUCAAAUGUCUAAAUAACUUUGUGACAAAUGCUGAGUAAGGAAGUUGGCCAUUGUCCUUCACCAUCGUUUUGUACAUGUAGAACAUAAUAGUGUGUGGAAGAGAGAACUUUUUGCCAGCGUUGAUGGCAUACAUCAGCUUUGCCUCUGAGUUUGAAAUGUCGAUUUUUGAAGUUGAUUUGGGUCUGAGGUAGUUGAUCACUAUCUUGUGAAGCAAAAUGUUUGAGGCAUUCAUCCUUGAAUAUGAAAUCUUUCCUUCCGUCAUUCUAUCCUGAACAAGCUCUAUCAUCGCAUGACCAAUAGACACAAUGAUUGGUUGUUAUCUUCCUCUUUCAACCCCAAUCACAUCAGCCAAUGUAUUCAUGUCAACCACAUAAUCCUGAUCUCGAACACUGAAAGAGAAUCUAUUCGUAUCCAAGAAACUGAGAUUCAAAUAGAAGUAAGUAGUAAGUUCAGCAUGAGCCUCUGUCGUUUCAAAACAAAACCGUUCAAGUUGAAGAAGAUUGAAUUUCUCUCGCAGAUUAGCAUUCAGAGAAUCAAGAAAAUCAAAGUCCACACUUCUAGGGUUAAUCACACCACGCUUUAGCAACUUAGAGUACAGUUGCUUGUGUUCCUCCGAACGAAAUAGAUCUGUCCUUUUGCUUCGGAUUUUCGCUGCAACACCCAUUCUAGGUUUAAAUUGAGUGUACAUCCUAUCAUCAUCAUUCCCAUUCGGUUGACUCAGCCCUCCAACACGUGGAUCACUUGGGAUAUUUGCAAAUGCUUCUUCUACUGACCCCGCAGGGGCAAUUCCUAAUCGUUCCAUUGUGCGUAAAAAGUAGGUUUCAUUUCGAUACCAUUUGUCUUUCAAAAAUUCAUCAAUGUAGUUCAAAGGAGUAUCGUCCCUUUUCAAAGCACGGUAAAGCUUAAAAGUAAAAGCUGGCUUUUGAGUUCUUACAGAUUCUGUAUCUUCAAUGAUUUCUUCAUCUUCUCGAUAUUCAAUAUUCUGAGGUCUAGAUGGAGGAGAUGGACGCUGUUGAGAAUGUUGUGGGCUCUGCUGUUGUCUAGGAGAUUUUUCUUCCUCGGUGAGAUCAAAAUGUGUAGGUCCCUCACGCAUUUGCAGUGGUCUCCUAUUCGCGAUCCUCGAAGACUUUCUUUACGAUGACAUUUUUCACAGUUUUUGAGAGAUUCCAAGCUUGUUUCGCAAGAAAGAUGAAAACUUUCGAGGAUUAAAAAAUAGAAGAAGAUAGAAGUGGAAGAUUUGUGCUCUCUUAGGGUUUUUGUGAGUAAAACGAAGAAGAACCAACAGUAUAUAAGGCAGUCGAAGUGAGGCAUAUGGAACGUCGUAAAAAGGAAAUAUAAAAAUGCCUUUAAAAAAAAAUAACUGCCUUUUCAAAAACCGAAUAACUAUCAUUUCAAAAAUAACUUCUUUUUUGAAAAGGAAAGAUUGCAAUAAUCACGAAAACUAGGAAAUAGCAUCAAUCAAUUACGGAUAGAUGAUCGUACAUUUUCGAGAUUUGAUCUGAGAGAUAAGUUUCUAAAAUAGAAGUAACUUACAGUUGUAAAUCUCGAUCGUCUGAGUCUGAGUGUCUUUAGACUUUCAAUCCUAAGUCUAAACUUCCUCAGGCUUUAAGAUAUUGAGUUUGGAACAAAUAACUUCAAAUUAAUUUUUCUCCAAAAGCUUUGUAAAUAUAUCUGACAGUUGAUUCUUUGAAUUAAUAAACUAAAUCAAAACUUCUCCAUUUUGAACAUGAUCUCUAAUGAAAUUAUGUCGAAUCUCUAUAUGUUUUGCUUUUGAGUGAAGAUUCAGAUUCUUGGUAAGAUUGAUUGCGCUAGUGCUGUCACAUUUGAUCUCAGUGCAUGAAUCUUCAAUUCCAAAGUCUCUUAGUUGUUGUUUUAUCCACAGAAUUUGUGAACAAUAACUUCCAAGAGCUAUAUAUUCUGCUUCUGCCGUCGAAAGAGCUACGGUACUUUGCUUCCUUGAAAACCAAGACACCAUCCUGUUUCCAAGUAAUUGACAGGUGCCCGAAGUGCUCUUUCUAUCAACUCUGCAUCCUACUAGAUCAGCGUCUGAGUAUCCAAGAAGUGUGAAGUCUCCUUAUUUAGGAUACCAGAGACCUAAAUUUGAAGUUGAGGCAAUGUAUUUGAUAAUACGCUUUGUAGCACUUAAAUGAGAUUCUUUAGGGUCUGAUUGAAAUCUGGCACAAAUACAAAUGCUAAACAAAAUGUCAGGUUUAGAAGCAGUAAAAUAAAGAAGUGAACCAAUAAUACUCCUGUAUAGCUUCUGGUCAACUUUCUUUCCUCCUUCAUCUUUGUCCAGCUUCAAAGAACUUGACAUUGGUAUAUCAGUCUUUUUGCAAUUCUCCAGUCCAAACUUUUUAACAAGUUCUUUAGCAUAUUUUUCUUGAUGAAUAAAGGUCCCCUCCUUCAGUUGUUUCACUUGAAGCCCGAGAAAGAAGAUUAGUUCACCCAUCAUGCUCAUUUCAAAUUCAUCCUGCAUAGACUUAGAGAAUUUCUUAUACAGAUUUUCAUUAGAAGAUCCAAAAAUAAUAUCAUCAACAUAAAUUUGAACAAGUAAAAAACUUUUGCUUUCUCUUUUGAUAACAAUGUAGUAUCUACUUUACCUUUGACAAAACCAUUUUGAAUUAAAAACUUACUUAGUCUAUCGUACCAAGUUCGAGGUGCUUGCUUUAAACCAUAUAGAGCCUUUUUCAGUCUGAAUAUAGAGUUCGGUUCCCUUAGAUCUUCAAAAUUGGGUGGUUGUUCCACAUAGACUUCCUCUUGAAUAAAUCUAUUUAGGAAAGCAUUUUUGAUGUCUAUUUGGAAUAACCUGAAAUUCUUAUGACAAGUAAAAGCAAGUAAUAAUCUGAUUACUUCUAACCUUGCUACUGGCGCGUAAGUCUCAUCAUAGUCUAUCCCUUAUUCUUGCGUAUAUCCCUUGGCCACGAGUCUUGCUUUGUUUCUUAUGACUUUUCCUUUCUUGUUCAUUUUGUUCCUGAAAACCCAUUUAGCUCCAAUGAUGGAUUUUCCUUUUGGUUUAGGAGUCAAUUCCCAGACAUCAUUGAUACUGAAUUGCCUAAGUUCUUCUUGCAUAGCUUCAAUCCAGCUUUCAUCAGUUAUAGCUUCUUCUAUGCUUUUGGAUUCUAUUUCAGAAAUAAGAGCCACAGCACUAGACUCUUCAUGUCUUUUGAAUCUUGUGCGAAUUCCUUUAUUAAUAUCACCAAUAAUGAGAUCUUUGGGAUGACUGGACUUAUGCUUCCAGUUGCUGGUUGAUUUGUCAGAUUGUUGAUCAUUUUUCUCAUUUGAAUCUUCAAUUAUCAUUUGUUGCUGGUCUUCUGAAGUCUGAGCUGCUUCUGGAGAUUUAGAAUUUGUAGAGUCUAGAGCAGGUUCAGAUUCUUCAAGUUAAGUCUGAAUCGAUUGAUUUUGCAUAAAGUCUUGAAAUUUGACAUUCAUCGAUUCCUCCAUAGAUUGAGUCGUUUUGUUGUAUACUCUGUAAGCUUUGUUUGUAAUAGAAUAUCCAAGGAAGAUACCUUCAUCUAAUUUUUCUUCAAAUUUACCAACUCGAUCAUUUGCAUUUUUUUAAUAUAAACAUUUACAUUCAAACACAUGAAAAUACGAAACAAUUGGCUUCUUUCCUUUGAAUAACUCAUAGGGAGUUUUCUCUAGAAUAAGCCUUAAAAAGACUUUAUUAAUAAUAUAGCACGCUGUAGAAACUGCUUCAGCCCAAAAACGAGAAGAGAUGUUACUUUUAAUUAAAAGAGUUCUAGCCAUUUCCUGCAGCGAUCUAUUCUUUCUUUCAACAACUCCAUUUUGCUCUGGAGUAUAUGGUGAAGAGAACACGUGCUGAAAACCAGAUUCAUCACAGAAUUUUGCAAAGUCUUGAUUUUCAAAUUCACCUCUAUGGUUUGUCUGUAUACUUGAAAUAACAUAUCCUUUAUCAUUUUGGACAUUUUUAGCAAACUUUAUAAAAUAAGAAAAUGUUUCAGACUUGCUAGGAAAUAUACCUAAGUGAAUCGUGAAUAGUCAUCCACAAAUAGUAAGCAAUAUUUCUUACCUCCAAUGCUCUGAGUUCUGGUUGGUCCAAAAAGAUCCAUGUGCAAGAGCUAUAGCACACGAUUAGUGCAUACUUGAUUUAUUGGUUUGAAUGAGUUUUUUACCUGUUUUCCCAACACACAUGGUGUGCAUAGAUCAGACUUUAGGUAUAUCAGUUUGGAUAGUCCACGAACAAGCUUCUUUGCUGAGAUUUUGGCUAUUUGCUUCAUGUUGAUGUGCCCAAGUUUUCUGUGCCAUAAGUUUGCUUCCUCUUGAAUUGAGAUUAGAUAUUGGCUUUGCCCCGUGAAAGACUGAGAGGAAUCUUUAUUGGUUCCUAAACAUAUUUCUUCUUGAAAGUUAAUUUUGAAACCAGUGUCGCACAGUUGACUGAUACUCAGCAAAUUGUAGUUGAGUCCUUCCACUAAGGAAACAUUACUGAUUGUGAUGCUUCCAAUCUUUACAGUUUCGUAUUCCACAAUUCUUUCUUUGCUAUUUCCUCCAAAAGAAACUUUUCCACCAUUAACUUGUACAAGUUUUAUGAAGCAAUUUGAGUCUCCUGUCAUAUGUCUUGAGUAUCCACUAUCCAAGUACCAUUUAACAUUUUUCUUGAUAGUGACCUGCAUUUAGAAAAAAGACUCAAGCUUUCUUUGGUACCCAUAUUUUCUUGGGUCCAUUGGUGUUAGUGUAAUAUACAGUCUUUGCCUAUACCUUCUUAACAUGUUUUCAAAUCAUAGGACAUUAUUUCUCAAAAUGAUCUAAGCUAUUGCACUUAGAACAUUUAAGAGCACUGCGGCCUACAGGUUUUACAAAAAAAAAUUGGAAAUGAUUUUUGUAAGAAUCUCUUGUAGGUCUUUGCUUAAUUCUUUCCUUUACUUUAGGAAAAUCAAUUAGAGGAAUGGUUUCAGCAGUCAUUCCUAAUCCUGAUUUGUUGAAGUAAGGUCUUUAUGUUGAAAGGAUUUUUUCAAGUUUCUCAGAUCCUAUAAAAAAUCUUUUAAAGAUAUUUGAGAUAUCAUUUUUCAAGAAUGCAUUUUCUUUUGAAAGAUUGUCUGCAUUUUCUUUCAAAGUAGUAACACUUUUGUCUAAACUUUUGACCUUUUCUUGCCAAACAUUUUCCUGUUGUUUCAGUGUAGAAUUUUCCCUUUUAAGUUCUGAAAUCCUUUUAAGAGAGGUUUUGAGACUAAGACACAAUUAAUCAAUGUAUCUAGAAACUUUAGUAGGGAUUUUUAAAUUACUUACCUCGAUUUCACUAUCUGAGUCUGAGCCUGAAUCUGAAUCUGAGUCUGAUUGUGCCAUGAGACAAAUAUUGGCAUACUCAUCAUCACUUUCCUCACAUUCUAUAUCACUCCAAGUUUUUGCUUUAAGUGUCUUUCGAUAUUUCUCAGUUUUUCCUUUCUUUUUCUUCAAAAGGGGACAGUUGGGUCUGAUAUGUCCAUUUUUCUUGCAUUCAAAGCAGACUACAUCUUUAUUAGAUUCAUCAUCCUCAACUGACUUAGUUUGUUGCUUUUGAAAACUUUGUUUCUUUAGAUUGAAUCUUCUCUCCUUUCUGUUUAGUUUUCUGAAUCUUCUUAUCAUGAGAGCAAGCUCUUCAUCAUCUAUAUUGUCUUCAGAAUUUGUGACAUCAGAAUCAUCAUUAGAUUUUAAUACAAUAGAUUUCUUACCUUUAGGAUCUUCAUCUUUGUUGAUUUGCUCCACUUCAUAAGACCGAAGAGUCCCAACCAAUUCGUCAACAGAAAGUGGCAUGAUUCUUUGUGUCUCCUUUAUUGAGGUCUUUAUGUGAUUCCAAUCCUUGGACAGUCCACGCAGUAGCUUGUUUACUUUCAUAGGUCCAGAAAUUGGUUGACCUUGAUAUUCCAGACCAUUCACGAUUUUUGUAAAACGACUAAACAUGUCAAUGAUAGAUUCUCCUGAUUUCAUUUUGAAUGCUUCAUAUUGACCGAGCAGAAUGUUGAUUCUGGCUUCUUUUACUCGAUCAGCUCUUUCAUAGGUGAUAUGUAAUCUAUCCCAGACUUCUUUAGCUGUUUCACAAGAAGAUAUUCUGUUAUAUUCAGUAGGAGAUAAUGCACAAUAUAAAUAAUAAAUUGCUUUUGCAUCAAGAGCUUUUCUCUUGGUUAUCUCUUCUUGAGUCAUUUCACUAGACUCAACAGCUUCUUUUCCCCUUUCUGAGACUGGUGCAGCUUUAGGAAUGAUUCCUUUGUCUACCACUUCCCAUUCCAGAGGAUCCUUUGAUCUUAGGAUUGCCUUCAUCUUGUUUUUCCAUAUAUUGUAUUCAUUUCCAUCAAAAUAAGGCGGUCUGGUAUUGCUUUGCCCUUCAAUCAGACCUGGAGCCAACAUACUAGUCAUGGAUCUUUAACUCUAAUGUAAAACACUUCAACUUGAGUGAGUACACAAGCUCUGAUACCAAUUGUGAAAGCUAGUACGAGUACCUAGAGGGGGUGAAAAGGUGUAAAAACAAAUUUCCCGAGAGAAGUGUGCAAUACUAAUCAACAAUGGAUUAUGAAAAGGAAAUUAGACUCUUGUAAACAAAUUGAGUUAUGAUCAAAGUAAAAGAGCGUAGGGAAGAGAAUAAGAACACAGGGUUUAUAGUGGUUCGGCUUAAUCCAAGCCUACGUCCACUCUUCUGUACUAACAGCCCACUGACUAGAUUUCACUAUGAAUCAAAAGAGUUGUUACAGUAAAACUCUUCCUUGAUUCCACUGUGUAGAGACUCUGCUACACUUCCUUAAGGUCUCACAAAAAUAUAAUCUCUCUUUUGAGUACAAGAUUUCGCUCAACAAUUGAAUUGACUAAGAACAAGGAACUUCAGACUUUGGAAUUCUUCUAUCGCACACACACUUGAACAACUGGAACGUCUUCCUUAUAUACUCCUUCAUGCCAUCACACCCGUGGGCACUUACCAAAGGAGUUCUUCCAAUCUACCCAUUGAACAGAAUCAAUUAGGAAGAUUUCGAGUUAUUUAAGGAAUAUGACGAUAGCCCACCAAUCUUGCUCGCCCAAACAAUCAGGAUCUAGGUUUCCAUAAGUAGAACCUUCCAAGUAUACUUUGCCAAUCAACGGAUCCAAAAUCCCUGAAUCAAUCUCAAUUUGAAUAAUGGAUUCCAACAUGCUGUAUCCAGCCAAGAGAUCUUCUUCAAUCGAUAGAAUCAAAUCCUCAACGAAACACUCAGUUCUGGAUGAGCCUUCUUCGACGGUCUAGAAACUGUCAAUGAGGAUAGACUUUGGGUCUUGAGUUUGGCAAUCCAGAGGACUUCAAACUUUGAUGGAAGAGUUUGCAAGUCUUCAGACUAAACUGAUGGAAACGUUUUGUCAACUUCAAAACACUCAAGGAAGUUUUCUCCAACAGUAGUUGUCUGGCUUCGACUAGGGGAAUGAGCUAUUUCCAAUAAGUAGAUGAUAAGCGGCCUAAUUUUGAGUGUUCUAAGAAUGUUCCAUCGUCUUGUUGGGCUUAAAAAAAUCAAACUCUUCUGGAGCUCAAAAAUGUCAUGUAUUUCAGUUUCACUCUAGAUCUUGAGGAUAUAGAUGCUUUAUGUUGCAAAGAGGCCUGCACAAAGAAUUGUUCCUGCAAAGCAGCUAUAUUCCAAUAUCAUUCUAAUCGCACUAGCGACAAUUAUUACUUACUAACUCAAGUGUUAUUACUUAUGAACGUUGAUAAGAAAACAUUUUUUAUAAUUCUACUACUUACCUUAAAGUACAAAAUAUGGCCAAUGAAGCUCCUUAUACUUCGGUUGACAAUUGUAUGAGCAACCGUUUCCUUGUAAUACCCGGAUCUNNNNNNNNNNNNNNNNNNNNNNNNNNNNNNNNNNNNNNNNNNNNNNNNNNNNNNNNNNNNNNNNNNNNNNNNNNNNNNNNNNNNNNNNNNNNNNNNNNNNGAGCAAAGGAGGAUUACCUUGAUCAAGUACUUGGAGUGCCACUAGAUUCGCAUACAAUGAUUGAAGACCAUCACAGAUGGAUUCAGUAAAAAGCUUGUCGAGGUGGUUUUGGUUUUGUUUCGAAGGUACUCUGAGUGACAGCAUAAAAGUUGCAGUAAAACGCCUUGAUGGUUUUGGAUAGGUUAGGAAAUCCUUUCUAGUCGAAGUUGAGACUAUUGAUAGCAUCCAUCACGUGAACUUGGUAAGACUCAUCAGAUUUUGCACUGAGAAAUUCCAUAGGCUCCUCAUCUAUGACUACAUAUCGAAUGGGUCUCUAGAUAGAUGGAUCUUUCACAAAUCCAAUGAAUGUGUUCUCUACUAGGGGUGUGCAAAAUACCCGGGAACCGCCUAGAACCGGACCGGAACCACCCGAAACCGGCGGUUCUUGAGGGAACUGGUCCGGUUCCUGGUUCCUAUUUAUGGGAACUAGUGGGUACCAGUCCAGUUCCCGGUUCCGUGGGCGAAUUUGCCUGCCCGCCCACCUGGACCAAACCGGAACCUUUUUAAUAUUAAAAAAAAAUUACUAAAAGAAACCCUACGUCUUGAGUCUCAUCUCUUCGUCUUCGGCUCUCUCUCUCUCUCUCUCUGUCUCUUCCUCAGUCUCUUCGUCUUCGAUUCCUCCCUGAGCGUUGACGCCGUCGUCGUCGCUCCUCCUCCGCCGCUGUCUGCCCCCUCGCAUCAGUCGCCACCCGCCACAGCCACUGCUCCUCCACCUCUGCUAUCCGCCCCCUCGCUGUUGUUCGCCCCCUUACUUAGUCUCUUCAUCUUCGAUUCCUCCUCGAGCGUCAACACCGCCAACACUGCUGUCCACUCCCUCGCGUCGAUCGCCACCAGCCAUAGCCGCUACUCCUCCGCCUCUACUGUCCAUCUUGACUGAGCCCCUUUUUCCAUCACUCAACAAGGUACGGUCAUCGGCUUCUAGCUUGCCUCUCGAUUCAUCGUCCGCUUGCGAACUUGUACUUCGAUUCGAUUACCCAAUAGGUCGGAACGUAGUGAAGUUCGAGUCUUUGUUUUGGGAAUCGAUCGCUAUUCAUCUUGGUGCUUUGUCUUCAACAGUGCUCAUGCUUGAAUUUACAGAAUCCUAGGUUGCUUUUCCCUUUUGUUGUGUUUUUUGAUUUUUUUUGUAUGUCUGAUCAUUGGUAAAUUCUAUGCUCAGGGUCUGAGAAGGAGAUAAAGUUUUGAGCUUUUUUAAUUUUUAAUUUUUUUUUUCAAUUUUGUUCUUCUUCCUUCUGGGUUAGGAAACUCACUUCACCUCCUAAAUUUGACUGUACUGCUAGGUUGAACUACCCUUUAGAUAUAUGGUGUGGAGGGAUGGGAUGAUAAAUUGAAGGGCUCUGUUUUUGUUAUCAUUACUCCUUUUUCAUAUGUUAUGCUCGAUUUUAUCAGUUUUGGCUUAUGUGAUUUGCGUGUUUGCAGAUAAUAUACUUGGCAAUAGUUGGAGGAACUUAUUUCAUUGUGGCAAAAUCAUGCUUCAGCUAUAUUCCUGGAUAUUAUUUAAGUGGAAUUCAUAGGUACUGUUUGAAAGGAUUUAUACAAUUUCUGUUAUGAGUCAAUUUGCUGGUGUGAUCAAGGACAAACACUUGGUUUGAUAGCCCAAUCAUCUUGUGGUGGGAAAUAUUUUUGGCUGUUGGCAGAGAAAUGGGAAGUCACCAUUUCACCUCAGAAGGCUAUUAGCUACAUUCAACUCUUUUCUGGAAGAUGCUUUUCUUUUCAUUUUUGAUGGCCCUUUGCGAAUUUAGAUUCACUUGAGUUGUUGUUAUAAGUAGUUUUCUGUGCCUGAUACUAAUGCAUGGCAAGUGGGUUGACAAUUGAUAGUUGUGUGUGUUUUUUAUGAGCAAGAUAUAUACUGCUACAUCGGUGUAGUUUCAGGGACUUAUGUGGCCACAUGAGAGUUUUGAUUGUCCUCGAUGAUGUGAAAAAUGUUUGUCAUGUCAAGAAACUCAUCGGAGAUAUCUUUGGUUGCUUUGGAUAUGGAAGUACGAUCCUUGUAACCUUGUCUAAUAUUCUCUACUUGAUGAGUUUGUUCCACGUACUUAAAUUUGGUUUUUCUUUCUUCGGCUUGCUUUGAUGUCACGUAGUUGUUUUAUGUUGAAAACCAAAAUUAUUUCGCGUCAAGAUUGGUUCACAGAUGGAUCCAUGCAACAAACGGGUAGAUCCCAAUUCCAAUUUUUCGAAACCGGUCCUUAGCAAGCGGUUCCUAAUUUUAGGUUGGGAACCGCCCGCCCGGACCAUGCAUACCCUUAUUCUCUACUGGCAACAAAUGAAGAAGAUCAUUCUUGAUAUAGUGAAAGGACUAAAUUAUCUUCAUGAAGAUUGCGGACAGAAGAUAUUUCACCUAAACAUUGAAUCCCCAAAUAUCCACUUGGAUGGAAAUUUCAAUGCUAAGGUUGCUGAUUUUGGAUUAUUCAAGUUGAUAGACAAAGACCAAAGCCAUGCCAUCACAACCAUGAGAGAAACUCUCAGUUAUGUGGCCCUCGAGUGGUGGAGUAAAGCAAUCACUGAAAAGAUCGGCGUAUAUAGUUUUGGCAUAGUAAACUUAUAGAUAGUGCAUAGGAGAAAAAUCUUGGAUCGCUCUUUAGAAGAAGAAGACAUGCAUUUACUGAGCCUUUUUAAAAGAAGGUAAAAGAGGAACACUUAUUAGACAUUAUGGAUAAGUCUAGCGAUGACGUGCAACUAAAUGGACCAACGGCGGUGAAUAUGAUGAGUAUUGUUGCAUGGUGCUUGCAAGGAGACUAUACAAAGAGGUCCUCCACGUCUAUGGUCAUCAAGGUGCUAAAGGGCAUCAUAGAAGUUCCAGGGGACCUGGAUUACGACUUCACUACUCAGGCUUCCACCAAUUAAGAAGCAAGAUUCAGUUGAAUGGAUGUCGAAUUCAAUGAUGCCUCUACAUUACUACCCUCAAUCCUAAGUGGUCCAUGAUAACGCUACAAAGUCGUAAGAACUUUUCUUCCCAAUAUGUCAAGUGGUAGAACAGGUGAUUGAAUUUUUCAAACUAUGAGGACUCCAUCUUGUCAUUCUCUUUUUAGGCCCAAAAAAAGGCCUUUGGCAUGAUAUCACUUCUCAUUUUCACUUUGCCAAUGAGUGGACUCCACCAUACUUUGCAAAGGAUUGAGUUGGUUACGGCAUUGCAAUUCGGUUUUAUUGCUUACGUGGAAAUUAGUUGUGCUCAAGCUUGUUGUGUGCUAGUCUAGGGAAAAGGGGAACUUGCCGAACCAUUUGUGCAAAAAGCUGUUAAAAGACUAGUCAACUGCCGAUAAUUUCUUUUGGUAGCUUUGCCAUAUUGUGGAUGUCGCGACCCAAUCUCGCCGCCCCUCGAAAAGUAUCCAAGGAGGGGAAAGGUCGGAUUUAGGGGUAUUUGAUCUCGAGAUCGCGAGCUCUCCCAAGCUCGUACCCCGCGUGACAGUAGGUUUAUUAUGCGAUCUAGUUGUUUAUAACAACCUAAAAAAAAUAGGCAGGAGUCGCUACUAGCCUUAUUUUGGGGGUCGGCUAGAAACCCAAUCGAGGGUCGGGAGUAUUCCCUCGAUUCCUACGUAACCAGAUAUCUACGUUCGGGGACUUGGGUUACGCUAAUUUUGCUAUUAACGCCCUUUCGGUACCUAAACAGUAUGUUGUGUUUUUUCUAACAUAUUCAUGCAUUUCUUUUUAUGUUUUCAGGAUCGUCAAUUCUAUACUAAAUGAUCAUGCGUGGUGAAUUACUUUCAUUAUAUUCUACUCUAUUCUAUUCUUAAGAAAUGAAAGGAAAACAUUCAAUGAAAAUUAAAUUGCAAUUCUAAAGAAUAUAAAAGAGAAAACAAUUGAGAAAGAAAGGAAACCCGCAACUCGUCGGGCUUUAUACAAUGCAUGGAACCCGAGACAUGUGUCGGGAAAAAUGAGCAUUACAUGAUAACGGUCGGAGUGGACAUCGACCUCCACCAUCUUUACGCAUUACGCCUUCUCCAUCCCUGUCCUAAUCUAAACCUAAUCUAAGAAACAAGGAUCCCUUGCCUCAUCUUAUAUGACUAAGACAACGCAUAGAAAUCAUUAUUAUAACGAAUAGACAUAGGCAUCAGACAUGAAUAUGAAUCUAGCAAAUUCAAGUCACAAACAGGACAAAAUGCGAGGCAUGCUUAAAGGUUCGUAAAAUCAUCUAGACAAUGUACAAAAAUGUGAAACUUGCACAUGACAUAAGGUUGAAUGCGAAAAAAGGUUUGGGUAAACAUUUAACCCUAAAUCAGAAUGCAAAGAAGUCACACAAGUCAUUAAUAUUGCAAAGUGACUUGGAACUAAGAAUGUUAUGCUUGACAAUUUUCAAUUGCAAUUAGCCAAAUGGGUGCAUGAUAUUCGCAUCAAACAAGGUUCAAAUAUGAUGUCCCAUGCAUUAAUGCGAAACUUGUAACACGUGUUUCAAAUGUCAAGAAGACAAUGACGCAUGAUUUGGCCCUUAAAACAAAGAACCAGCAAAAUCAAUACACAAAGAAACAACAAAAACAGCACCUCAAUGACACGACUAAACAAUUUCACACACCAGGACAUAUGAACAGCAGGUAAAGAAAUAUCGAUACUAAAGAACAACAUAACUCUCGACAUCUUUACAAACAAAAACACAGAGUUUGGAUCGGUAGAACACAAAUAAGCUAUUGGGCAAAGUGAUUAGUGUUGGAAAUUGGUUUGAUGGUGGAUAUCUAAUAUUAAUUAUCAAACAACAGAUUUUUUCUAUAAAAAAAAAAAGAACAAUAGAGCAAGACCAUCCCACACGUGAUUUACUUUUUUUGGUAUUAUCAACCUUAAAAUAUAUGCUCAAAAGAUCGUAGGAAAGUGGCAGACAAUCAGGUCCACCCAAAAACAGAAUAUGCAUUUCUGACCAAGGCAAAUUCCAGAUUUCAGAAUGGAUUAGAAAAAAAAAGUUAAACAUGGCAAAUGAUGGUUGAUUCAGGCAUGCAAUAUGUCAUUUUAAAGCUUGAGAUGCCUAUUACAAUUAUCUAGAAGACAUUAAGUCCUAAUAACAUCAUCUACCAGCUCAUUUCGAGGACCGAAGCAUAUCAGUCAAAAUAGGCAUACGAAUUUCCACAUCAGAGCAGAACAGAACAAUUUUCCAGAAUUACUUCCUAACUUUUAAAGAAGAUUUCAUGUGGCUAAUGAUAUCGGAUCAGGGUUAUAGCUCGUUGGAAAGCUAGUCGAACCAUCUUCAACUCUCAUGAAGGCAUCAAACACAGAAAACCACAGCAACCAGCUCGUAUCAGGUCAUUUGUACAAAAGGUCAUCCAAAACAGAGAACCAAUCAGAACAGCAAAAUUUCAAACAAAGUCAGGGAUAUUCUGGACAUAUUCAACCUGGGUAAAUGAUAUUCAAUUAUCACGAAAUUUUUAUUUGAUAUAGAUUGGAACCUAAUGAACAACUUUCAUUUAGACAUCAACUUUAGAAUCUAAUCACAAAAAAUCAUGUGAAAAUGGCAAACAACACAAGUCAUUAAAGUAGUGCAUGAAAACAGAACACUUAAUCAUUUACAAAUUGUAAAUUGUAGCUCCGUUUGUAACAAUUGUCGAUUCUAGUAAAUGAUGACCAAAUCCAAAAGCUCACGGCAUUCAUUACAAAUUAUUAAGAAAGAAGCAAGCCUCGAGCACAGUACAAAAAGACAGCAAGACUCGAGCACAGCAAAGACUAUGAACAUGCGUUUAGCUUAGGCAUUUCAUCGAACGCUAAAUAGGCGCAAGAAAAACAAGGAGCACCGAGACUGAGCUUGAGUAGGGAUUUAAAAACAAUCAACAUUUAAGACCUCACAAUCCCAGCAUGCACAUGGAUAAAACCAAAACUCACAUGAACAGGACAACGGCGACUUGGUCUAAUGACUCCAAAACUAAGCACAAAGAAGAGACAAAAUAAGGCAAUCGGUCAAGGGUUCCAACCUGGCUCGUGGCACCAGGCAGGAGAUAAGAUCCGAGAAAUCGUCCAGAGAGCGAGCCUCCGAUCAAGAGAGUUACUAAUCUCCGAAAGCGAUCCUCAACCAGUCGGAACAGAGAGAAUUUCCGAUCCUGAUGAAGCUAGAUCCGGGCGAGAGCGAUUGAGUGUCCGUAAGAAAAAGAGAAUUCGAGCAGGAAAGAGAAUUCCCGAGCGAAAGAGUCAGCUUGAGUCCUAGAGAACGUGUGGGAUCUGGAGAGCGUCCUCGAGAGAGAGAAACCGUUCGGCCGUUUUUCCUCCGAGAGAGUCUGAGCCGAGAGCGUUCGUCCGUUUUGUCACAGUCGCGACUGCACUGACCGACAUAGGAAAUUUAGCUGCGGCUGUCACCGAUCGGGGAUGGGAAUACACCGAGCGUGAAGAUGAUCAGCAUAGCGAGGCCAACGACCGCUUCAAGCUCUUCAUCUUCGAAGCCAGAAACAUCACCGACGAUUUCUUCUCAUUCUCCAUCUUCUCCGACUCUAUCUAUCCAGAAGCACGAACCUUCGAGCGGCGGAACUCCCGACGGAAGAAACGAAAACCGAUCGUGAGUGGAGAUCAACUCCGGAUCUUAGUACCGGAAACGACAAGCCAAAGCAAUGGUAGAAACGGAGGAUGCGACGGUUGGUGACCGGAUUGCGGUAGCGGCGGCGCGCGAAUCGAAUCUCCGCCGCGAUGGGAAGAACUUGAAGAUUUGGGAUCGGAGUCGAGUGCAGAGAAAGAGAGAAAGCUUGACGAUGGAGGAUCCUCGAUCUAGGGUUUUCUUGGUGUGGUGGAGGAGACCGGAAAGAAAUCGAGAUCGAAAGAGAGAAAACCAGAAAAGCCCGCGUCCCCGAGCCUCCCCCAGAGAUCUUCCGUUCGAGCCUUUUAGAGAGAGAGAGAGCGUGAGAGAGCGAGAGAAAACCGUUUGAGAGCGAGAGAAAAAGAGAGCCCCUUUUCUAUUAUUUUUUUUCUUUCUUUUAUUUUUUUUUCUCUCCUUUUUCUUUUUCGUUUUCCUUAUUUCUUAUUUUUUUUCUCUUUUCAUUUCAUUUCAUUUUUUUUCUUUUUGUUUUCUUUUUAUUUAUUUAUUUAUUUUUGGCUCUUUAUUUUUUUAUAUUUUUGCAAAAUGGAUGAUUAAAAUGUCGACGAAAAUUUCCGGUGUCAACAGUGGAUCCAAAUGAGAUUUGCCUUUUGGUUCCAACACCUAAUAUCUUUUAGAUUCAAUGACUCUACCUUCCAUGUCUUCUUCAUUUCAACAUUAGUGGGCUAUUUUUAGUCUGUUCUACGAGCACACGGCUAGAACCGAUAAAGAUAACAAGAGAAUUUCAUCACUAAUGAGUUUGGAUUUUUCCUAUCGACUCUUGAUAUAUCCUAGGUCAAUAAUCUUAACUUACAACUUCUUAAAGAUCCAUUGAGGUUGUCUUGGGACAUAUUUUCGCCAAAAAUAAAGAGCCAAGAUUUUUGGGUAUGCAAGAUUCAACUUUGUGAUCUUUAGAUAAUACCAAUAAUUCUCAAUAACCUCAGAUUUUCCACAUUCAUUAAUCAACAUUGAUCCAAGCAUAUAGAUUCAUCAAAUUCAAUAGAGGAUAGAAAGCUUGUUCGGGUCUUAUUUGGUCCCUGGAACUGCUCACACAAUUAACAAAAGUUCAAGCGAUCUAACGCCCCCCCCCCCNNNNNNNNNNNNNNNNNNNNNNNNNNNNNNNNNNNNNNNNNNNNNNNNNNNNNNNNNNNNNNNNNNNNNNNNNNNNNNNNNNNNNNNNNNNNNNNNNNNNGAAAUUCGGUUAACCAAUCUUAGAAAACAUGAUAAAAUUAAAUGCAAAGAAAUAUGAUUGAGAAAGUAACCAAGUUAAUUUCUAAGUAGGAAAAAAAAUGACGAGGUUGAUUUUAUUUUUAAUAAAGAAAUGGACGGGGAGGGGGGAUCAUCAGGUGGCUCUUCUGUUAAUUGUAAUGUGUAUUGUGCGCCAUAUUCAUGUAUGGCGAAGGUAAGGGUAUAUUUUCAAACUUGAACUAAUAUUUGAUAUCAAUCAAUUUUAUUUUAAUUUAUAGUCAUUUUAAUGAAUGUCUUGAGUACUUGUUAAAUAUUUUUAUGAAGAGAAUCUUCAAUCUCCGAUGUGUCAUUGAGUAUAUUAUGAUGACAAUCAAUGUAUUGGGAGUCACCAUAUUUUUUUAUUUAAUUGCUUAAUAAGUGUUUUUGAGGUACUUUCUUAGUAAAUCUUUUUUAUGUCAAGUCCUUAUGCUCUUUAAAAAGAAAAAAAUUCUAAAUCUUUGACUAUACCAGCGAAAGGUAUUUUUUUUCGAAUACAAGAGGAAAGAAGAAGAAAGAUAGGCGAAUGCGUCACGCAUGUGUAGGCGCCGCAAAGGGAAGAUUAGGAUAAACACCUCUAAUCGGACCGGUUGCUUUUGGCCUUUCUUUUUUUUUUUUUUCUUUUUUUUUGCGUUUGGGUAAAGACGCGUACUUCGUUUCUUGUUUGACGGGUUGCAAGUCUCUUCAUCCAACCCAAACCACCAAAAAGAAACAAUUAAAAAAAUUAAAGGAAGAUUGCAAGUCUCUUCUUGAUGCUCGACAUGCGUAUCACGCUGGAAUGCAUUCCAUUCACUUUAUUGAGAGAACUUCCUGUGCAAUUUUCCUGUUUCGCUUUCAUCUUGACUCAAAGUCGCCAGUCUAUUAUUUGCAUCGUCUUCCCUCCUCUCUUCCAUUUCUCAAUCAUCCUCUGCUCAGAGUUUCACUGCAGGCCAUGGUUUUACUCUGCAGUCGCCCUUCUUUCUUCCUUUCCUUUUCCUUCGUUUUGCUAUCGCCAUUCUCAAACUUCAUUGCUCAAGCUCGAGAUUAUGAUCAUCCAACCGCCACGCUUUCAAGACAGUGGACGAAUAACGCAACAGCUAAUAACUACACCCCAUAUAGUGAUGGAUCAGUUGUGCAGAAAAUUCUAUUCCGAGGCACAGGAGUUACCGCCGGCUACUCCUGCGGCUUCUAUUGCAAAGGUAACUGCACCUCUUACCUCUUUGCUGUUCUAAUCUUCCCAGUUGUCAAUGUUUAUAAUAGGGGACUGGACGAAAGUCCACGAGUAGUGUGGUCUGCCAAUCGAAACAAUCCCAUAAAGAUUGGCGCGACAUUGGAGCUCACGCCUGAAGGCGAUUUGGUGUUGAAAGAUGCUAAUGGUACGGUUGCUUGGUCCACAAACACUUCUGCAAAGUCCGUUGUAGGCCUGGACUUGACAGAUUUGGGGAACCUCGUAUUGUUUGAUAAGGACAAUGCGACAGUUUGGCAGUCCUUUGAUCACCCAACCGAUUCACUCGUCCUCGGACAAAAGUUGAGGCAUGGGCAAAGAUUGACACAGAGUAUUUCCGAGACAAAUUGGACCGUUGACGAUAUGAUUACGUUUUCCGUGAAUGGCGAUGGUUUAUCUGCUCAAGUGGAGACUAAUCCUCCUCAAAUCUAUUUCAACUGCAAAGCUUACACUUGGGAUACAAGUAUCAAGAUUUCAUAUGUUGAACUUGAAAAUGGAAGCUUGUCUUGGUUCUCAAAUUCUACCUCGUAUGGGACCUUGUUUUCAAUCCCUUCAGCAUCUUCAACACAACACAUGACGCUAGGCUCAGAUGGGCAUUUGAGAGUGUAUGACUCUGAGGGGGUAGAAGUGGGCGAUCUUUUCAAAGGGUAUGUCGAUGACUGUGCCUAUCCGACGGUGUGUGGGCAAUAUGGAAUUUGUUCCAAUGGGCAAUGUAGUUGUCCGGCUUCAAGUGGGGGCACGAGCUACUUCCAGCCAGUAGAUGCUAGGCAGCCUCAGCUUGGGUGUUUCGAGAAUGGUCCGUUGUCUUGUGGGGCUUCACAACAACAAAGUCUUCUGGAGCAAGAAAAUAUCGCGUAUUUUAGUUUGACUCCAAAUCUCGAGCAUAUAGAUGCUUCAAGUUGUAAAGAGGCUUGUGCAAGGAAUUGUUCAUGCAAAGCAGCUAUAUUUCGAUAUGAAUCGAAUCGCACUAACGGCAGUUGUUACUUACCAACUCAGGUAUUUUCACUUAUGAACAUUGAUGAGGCAACAAGUCCUUAUAAUUCUACUGCUUUCCUCAAAGUACAAAAUUUGACCAAUGAAGCUCCUUAUACUCCAGUUGACAAUCCUAUGAGCAACCGUCUCCCCGUAAUACUUGGGUCCAGCCUUGGAGCUCUCUUUGCCAUGAUGAUUUUGAUUGUAGCCAUAGUUUUGUUUGUUCAAAAGAGAGAUGAUAAUCAAGCAGAGGAGGAUUACCUUGAUCAUGUACCUGGAAUGCCCACUAGAUUCGCAUAUGACGAUCUAAAAACCAUCACAAACGGAUUUGAUAGAAAGCUUGGCGAAGGCGGUUUUGGUUAUGUUUUUGAAGGUACUCUAAGGGAUGGCACAAAGGUUGCAGUAAAACGCCUUGAUGGUUUUGGGCAAGUUAAGAAAUCCUUUCUAGCCGAAGUUGAGACUAUUGGCAGCAUCCAUCACAUGAACUUGGUAAGACUCGUGGGAUUUUGCGCUGAGAAAUCCCACAGGCUCCUUAUCUAUGAGUACAUGUCGAAUGGGUCUUUAGAUAGAUGGAUCUUUCACAAAUCCAAUGAAUGUGUUCUCGACUGGCAACAAAGGAAGAAGAUCAUUCUCGAUAUAGCAAAAGGACUUAAUUAUCUUCAUGAAGAUUGUAGACAGAAGAUAGUUCACUUAGACAUUAAAUCCCAAAAUAUCCUUUUGGAUGAAACUUUCAAUGCUAAGGUUGCUGAUUUUGGGUUAUCCAAGUUAAUAGACAAGGACCAAAGCCAAAUCGUCACAACCAUGAGAGGAACUCCUGGUUAUCUGGCCCCCGAAUGGCUAAGUGCAGCAAUCACCGAAAAGGUCGACGUGUAUAGCUUUGGCGUGGUUAUCUUGGAGAUAUUGUGUGGGAGAAAAUCUUCGAUCUCUCAAUGAAGAAGACAUGUAUUUACUGAGCCUUUUUAAGAGAAAGGCAAAAGAGGAACAAUUGCUGGACAUUGUGGAUAAGUCUAGUGAUGACAUGCAACUAAAUGGAUCGAAUGCAAUGAAUAUGAUGAGGAUUGUCGCAUGGUGCUUGCAAGGAGACUAUAUAAAGAGGCCUCCCAUGUCCAUGGUCAUCAAGGCAUUACAGGGCAUCGUGAAAGUUCAAGAAGACUUGGAUUAUGACUUCUCUGCUCAACCUUCCAGUAGUGGAGAAGUGAGAUUCGAUCCCAUGGAUGUCGAAUUUAAUGCUACCGCUACAUUACUACCCUCAAUCCUAAGUGGUCCACGAUGACGCAUCAAAUUUAGAAUAACUUUUCUUCCCAAUAUGUCAAGUGGUAGAACAUGUGCACGAUUGAAUUUUUCGGUCCGUGAGGACUCCGACUUGUCAUUCUUUUUUUCAGGCCAAGGAAAAAGCCUGUGGCAUGAUAUCAUUUCUUGUUUUUACUUUUGCCAAAAGGAUUGAAUAGGUUAGGAUUUUGCAAUUGGGUUUUAUUGCUUAUGUAGAAACUGUCGUGCUCAAGUUUAUUGUGUGCUAGCCUAGGGAAAAAGCUGCUAGUAAUGUCUUUUGGUAACUUUACCAAAUCAUGGAUCCAAAUUUGAUUUGCUUUUUGGUUCCAACACCUAAUAUCCUUCGGGUUUAAUGACUACCUUCUAUGUCUUCCUCAUUUCAAGCUUAAUGGGCUAUUUUUAGUUUGUUUUGCCAGCGCACAAUUAAAACCGAUAAAGAUAAUAAGAGAAUUUCAUCGUUGGUAAUUUUGGAUUUUUCCUAGUGACUCUUAAUGUAUACUUGAUUAAUAAUAUUAAUUUCCAACUUCUUAAGGAUCUGUCGAGGUUGUUCCAAGGCAUAUGUUUGCCAAAGAUAGAGAAUCAGGAUGUUUGGGCAUUCAAGAUUCAAUUUUCCAUCUUAAAAAAACACUGGUCAUUCUCAAUAACCUCGGCUUUUCCACUGUCUUUAAUCAUCAUGAUCCAAGCAUGCUGAGAUGCUUGUCCGGGUUUUAUUUGGUCUCGGAACUGCUCGCACAAUUAAUGAAAGUUCAAAGCUAUCUGGCCCGCUGCCAUGCCAUGGCACCUCUCGAUUGGAUCUUCUCGUGGCAGGUCAACAAACCAGAGCCCACGUGGAGCUCAUCCAUUGGCCCGAGCUACGUGUAACCUCUUGCAAAUUGCUCCCUCUUCCCUGCACAAACUCACUAGCGACGGAACUUCUUCGCUCGGAGUCGCGAUGGUAAGUUAUCACGAAUCGCACAGAGAAACGAUAAUCAGUACAUAAUAUCCCCAAAACGUAAAAGACAAGACAAGAAAACCAAUGCGAUUAUGAAAAUAAAAAAGAUACGCACGUAGAAAGAAGGCUGAGAGGAAGAAAGAAGAUGACAAACGGUACAUGACUUCCCGAGACAUCUCGAGCAUAACAUAAGACCGUUUGCAAUGCAAAAGCAGCAGAAAUACAGCAUAUUCAAUAUCAAUAAACAGUGAUCCAUUUCUUUCUUUACAGUAGCCCAAACUGGAUCCAGCUCAUAAACGAGGAGUUAACUCUUUUUUCAGAGUGUCAGCUCGCCAUGCGAAAAUACAAGAGUGUAAAGAGACGCGGCAGCAUUCUUUUCUUCGCUUGUUUCCCCCUAAAAGAUGUCAAGGUAGUCUCCAUAUAACUAUGAAGCUCAAAGUAAGAGACAAUUACGUAAUGCUGUAACAUUUUCUUCCCGAUAGUUCAUGCAACAGAUANNNNNNNNNNNNNNNNNNNNNNNNNNNNNNNNNNNNNNNNNNNNNNNNNNNNNNNNNNNNNNNNNNNNNNNNNNNNNNNNNNNNNNNNNNNNNNNNNNNNGGUUGAGGGCUAAGCCCUCGCUACCGUCACCUCCUCGCCGUCGCCGGGAAGGGUCAGUGAAGGUGGGGGGAGGGUUGACUAGGGUCGUCGGUGUGGCAUCCCAAAAUUCAAGUCACCCUCUAGAGGAAUUAAAGCCUAUAAUUAGGUAAUGAAAUUACCUAUGGUCUAUGUGUUAGCCAUUAGUUUUCUUAAGGCUAUGUGUUAAUGUGCUUGUGUUUAUGAGAUUUUAAAUUUGAUAGAUUAAUGAUAAUAAUCUAUGCUUGACCAUGCACCUUAUAGAUUAAAUUCCUAUAAAUAAAAUGUCACAAGACUUUGGCCAUGUGGAAUUUAAAAUUUAAAAUUUGUAGAAGAAAUUAUAAAAGGAGAAAAUUUAAUUUUUUAUUUAAGUUGGGCCUUAGGCCCAUUGGCCUAAGCCUUAGUGGGCCAAGCUGGUCGGCCCAAUUAGGCCCGCGAAAGGGGGCUGUCGCCGGCCCAAAAAGAGACCCAAGAAAAAGAAAGCCCAAGCCCAUGCUUGUGUUGUGACAAGUGGCAAGAGGAGAUGGCAUGCAUUGGCCAAUUGAAAGGCAAACUAAUCAUUGCAAAUGAUUAGGAAAUGGGGGAAUAAAAGGGAAGAGGAGAGAGAGAGGUGGCCGGUUGAGCUACCGCCCAAAGAGAGAGAGAGAUUGUGCGAGAGAGAGGGAGAGUGAGGCCGAGAGGGAGGAGAAGCCAAGAGGAAGGAGUCGCCGCCCGUUCGCCGCCGUGUGCUGCCAUGUUCGCCGCCAUGUGCCGCCGUUUGUGUGGUCUAGAGGCAAGUUGGGAAUCCACUUUCUACUCUUGCACCAAUGUUUUGCAUGUAUGGUCGGAAUCUAGGAUGUUUGGAGGCAUGGGAGUGAAGCAAGUGUGGUUUGUUCUUGAGUUGCAUGCUGUUUUCGCAUGAACAGUUUGAGUCAGAACUUUGUGAGAGCUUGCAUGCAUGUUUUGAGUUCGAUUUUGAUUUUGAUUUCUUCAUGAAAGUUGUAUAUAACAUCUUAAACUAUAACAUAAUAAAAUUUGGUGUAAAAUGAUGGAGAUUUGAGGGGUAAAACUCUCAUCCUACGGAGACAUCAGAUCUGGAACUAUUUCACUGACCUUUCGGUGGAUUUGUGGUUGCAUGUUGAUUUUUACUAAGAAUAUCUCUUCGAUUUCUUCUUUAAAGUUGCAGGGGGAAUCUUAAAAUACAACAUACUCAAAUUUGAAGUAAAAUGAACAAGUAUAACCUAGUAAAUCGACUCACUCUUGAAGACGGUAAAUCUGGAGACGUGGUACAGGACACCCGAGACUUCAUGGACCCAAAUGAUGACUAUACUCUAGAUAUUUGACUUAGAUCCCUUCAUGAAACUUGUAUAGAAAAUCUUGAAGUAAAACAUAUCCAAAUUUCAGAGGAAACGAAGAAUAAUAGGUAGGUGAAGACUCAGUAUUUCGGAGAAGCAUGCACUGGACAUUUCGAUGUUAUAUCCAGAAGCUUCGUGUGACUGUAGAAAAUAAUAUAAAAAUAAUUUGGCCUAGAAGUCUCCAUGAAAAAUAUACCUUAGUGUCUUGGCAAUAACCUGGUAAAAUUUCGUAAUUUUCGGAGAUCGUUUGGAUAUUUUAAUUAAAUUAUUUCGGAAACUGUGCAUUCUGUUUUUAUCCGAAGUUGUAUGCUGUGAUGGUGUGAAUGAUAUCUUUUGUGUGGAAUAUUAUUGGCCAUGUGUCUUUCAUAAAACCAUUAUCUUAUUGUCUUGGUUAUCACAUGCUUUAAUUUCAUGAUUUUUGGGAAUCAUAUGGAUAUUUAAUUUAAAUAUUUUUAAAAAUGGUACAAGCUGGAAUUUAAAUAAAUUCCAAAAAGGCAUAAUAAAUGGAUUAUUCUAAAUUGUAUGAAUUCCAUAAACUUUAUUUUUCAUCCUGUGGCAUGUAUAAUGAUGGCUAAUGAUGCAUGUAUGAAUCAAAGCAUGAAAGUGAUCUUGUUUGCCAUUGCAUCAUGUGCCGUGCUGAGUUGAGACAUAAAUUGGUAACCAUGAAUAAAAGAGAUAAAUGAGGAGACUGUUGUGGUAGAUGAUAAUGCCCUGGGAGUGUCAAGAUGUCCGGGAUGGGGGGUGCCGAAAGCCGGAUUGUAUUGAGAUACAAGGCCGGAUUGUCCUCGGGAGUUUCGAGAUGCCCGGGAAAUGGGGGUGCUGGAAGCCCUGGAGGUUUGUGCCCAGGGGGAUGCCUCGUGACGCCAGUUGGGGUGCGAGAUGCCCGGCCAGGGAGUGUAAAUGCCGGAAGCCUCGGAGGUUUUUGCCCGAGGGAUGCCUCGUGAUGCCAGUUGGGAUGCGAGAUGCCCGGAAUAUGGGGGUUCGGAUGCCCGGUGGUGUAUGCCGGAGGUUUAUCUUGUGAUGCCAGAUGUGGCGAUCGAAUUGAAAGAUAAAAGUGAAAAUGAUGGCAUGCAUAUAUGAUGUGAAGAUGAUAACCUAUGGCAUGAUGGCAUGCAUAUAUGAUGUGAAGAUGAUAACCUAUGGCAUGAUGGCAUGCAUAUAUGAUGUGAAGAUGAUAACCUAUGGCAUGAUGACAUGCAUAUGUGGUGUGAAGAUGAUAGCCUAUGGCAUGAUGACAUGCAUAUAUAUAGGAUAUGAUGAUGAGAUGUGCAUGGAUGCAUGGUAACUAUGCAUGAUGAUAUGCAUGUAUGAGAUGAUAUGAUGAUGAUCACUUAUGGCAUGAUGAUAUGCAUGUAUGAGAUGAUAUGAUGAUGAUCACUUAUGGCAUUAUGAUAUGACAUGAUAUGAUAUGAUGAUGAAGAUGUAUGAUGGUAUAUGCAUGGCUUCAAGGUAAGUACGCAUGGAUGCAUGAAUGGCAUGUAUGAUGUUGUGAUUGUAUUGUAUGAUGCAUUGAGUGGCUAUCGGAUUCUUUUACCUGCUGAGUGGUUGUACUCACCCCUUUGGGGACCAACAUUUCAAAUUAGCAGCAUGCCGCUCCCUGCUGUCACGCAGGGUGUGUUUUACGGUCUACCAUCCAAUGUAGAGGUCAAGUGCGAGGAGUUUGGCUGUCCCUCUGUUCCUGGAUUGACAUAUAUUCGAGUGCGCUGUUUAGUCAUGUACGAUGUAGGCCUGACUGGGGGCCCUGUUGUCCAGGAGUUCAUAUCCGUCCACAUUCGUCGCGACGGUGUGAUGCGUGGGAUGUUGCCGCCGCCACCGCCUGAUGCACCGGGUUGGGUGUGAGGGCCCGUGCGUGAUGAGUAGGAGCUGGAUCUUUUUGGGGAUAGUUAGUCGACACUGAUGAUGGGGAUUUAGCACGUGAGUUGUAGCGGGUCGAGGGUUUCUUUUUGGGGUUUUAGGCCGGGCGUGGCUGAGUCCUGGCUUUUCCUUUUGAUGUACCAACCCAAGAAAUCCCAUCUUGGAGAUAUGUAAAUAAAGUGUCAUGGCUUGUCUUUUAAUCAUGAUGAUUAGUGGUGUGUAUUUGUAUCAUGGUUGAUGGAGGGGGAGAUGGCGAUGUUUUAUUUUGCUUCCGCUAAUGAGUCACGCUGGGACCGCUUUAAAAAAAAAUGUCUAUGAAUUACGACGUUUCUUCUAAAUAAAUGUAAUAAGGUGUAACGUUGGUGUCUGUGGCGACCUGCGAAGGGUUCGGGGUGCCACAGUCGGGCCCUGGCCACGGGCCAGCAACCCUUGCUAAUCGGUGGUGAGGGCCCACGAGCCCUCGCCCCAAAUCUGGGUGAGGGUCGCGACCUUCACCAGAUCUGGCGAGGGUCGCCAACCCUCGUUGGAUUUGGGGGAGGGCCGUGACCCUUAGCCUGGCCGUGUGAGGGCUGUGACCCUUGCCCAAAUCUGGGGCGAGAGCUCACAAGCCCUCGCUACCUGUCGGCCAGGGUUGUCAGCCCUUUGCUAGGGCCGGGUGACCCUGGCCGACCCUCCCCCCAUUGUCGCCGGCCCUUCUAGUGGCGGCGAGCAAGCAGUGGCGGUGAUGAGGACUCAGCCCUCAGUCGCCUUCUUUCUCUCUUGGCCUUUUUUUUUUUUGGAAAUAUUUGUAUUUGUAUUUUUAAAUGAUUUAAAUAAAUUUAGUUUUAAAUUUAAAUUUAAUUUUUUACCACGUCAAUAGCAAAAUGACAUCGUUUUUGCAUUGUCUAGCCAUGUCAGUGUGCAAAAUGACACCGUUUUGCACAUGCUUCGCCAAAAAAUCGUCACGUUAGCAUUUUGGCCGGAUUUUUUUGCCGUUGGCACUUAAGUGAUCAAUUUUGUUCUGAUUUUAGCACUUAAGUGAUCAUCUGAUUUUAGCACUUAAGUGAUCAUCUGAUUUUAGCACUUAAGUGAUCCAUUUUGUUCUGAUUUUGGCACUUAGGUGUCACUUUCCUAACUUUUGGCACUUAAGUGUCCCUACGUGCCAAGUUUUGGCACUUGAGGUGUACUUCUUCCCACUCUUCCUAUCACAACUCACUAGCGAUGGAAGUAUUGAGAUAGCUAGUAUAAGCACCUAGAGGAGGGUGAAUAGGUGCAAAAACAAUUUCUCGUGAUAUGUGAGCAAUAUUAGACAAUGAGAAUGAAGCUCGCCUUUUUGAUAUCACAAGUAAUUAUGAUCAAAGUAAAACNNNNNNNNNNNNNNNNNNNNNNNNNNNNNNNNNNNNNNNNNNNNNNNNNNNNNNNNNNNNNNNNNNNNNNNNNNNNNNNNNNNNNNNNNNNNNNNNNNNNNNNNNNNNNNNNNNNNNNNNNNNNNNNNNNNNNNNNNNNNNNNNNNNNNNNNNNNNNNNNNNNNNNNNNNNNNNNNNNNNNNNNNNNNNNNNNNNNNNNNNNNNNNNNNNNNNNNNNNNNNNNNNNNNNNNNNNNNNNNNNNNNNNNNNNNNNNNNNNNNNNNNNNNNNNNNNNNNNNNNNNNNNNNNNNNNNNNNNNNNNNNNNNNNNNNNNNNNNNNNNNNNNNNNNNNNNNNNNNNNNNNNNNNNNNNNNNNNNNNNNNNNNNNNNNNNNNNNNNNNNNNNNNNNNNNNNNNNNNNNNNNNNNNNNNNNNNNNCCAUCAAUCAUGUUCGCCCAUACAAUCAGGAUCUCGGUUUCCAUAAGUAGAACCUUCCAAGUAUACUUCACCAAUCAUCAGAUCCUUAAUCAAUCUUGAUUUGAGUAAAGGAUUCCGUUAUGUCAUAUCCAGCCAAGAGAUCUUCGUCAGUCGAUAAGAUCAAAUUCUUAACGAAACAUCCAGUCCUGGAUAGACCUUCUUCGACAAACUAGAAACUAUUAAUGAUGAUAGACUUUGAGUCUUGAGUCUGGUAGUUCGAAGGUCUUCAGACUUUAAAUAGUAGAGUCUGCAAAUCUUCAGACUAAACUGAUGGAAACGUUUUGUCAGCUUCAAAAUACUUCAUGAAGAUUUCUCCAACAAUCUCCCCCUUUUGAUGGUGACAAAACUUUCCUGCAGAUUUAAAUAACUUUGACCUACAAAACAUUACUCAAACAAAUAUGGAUAUCUUAUAAAGAUAAAUGGCUUACUAGAAUCUGCAACCAUAGAAAAUAAGUUAGUCUUUCAUGAGAGUAAAGCCAUUCAUAAGAUAUCAGUAGUACUUAAUAUGAGCAGUCAAAUCCAAAUCCCAAAUUCAGUCCACAUCCAGACACAAGUCAAGUCAAAACAUCAAACAUCAAAACAAAUUAAAAGUUCAACAAGUUCAAGAUCAAAGUUUUAAAAUCUCGCAUCUCUCCCCCUUUUUGUCAUCAGAAAAAAGGUUGAGAUGGAAAUAGAGUCAAGAUUGCUUGGGAACACGAACAAGCUGGAAAUCUCCCAUAGACUGAGCGAUGCCUUCUAGCUUUUUCAAUUCUUCUUUCAGUUGAGCUACAUCUUCACCCUUAGCAUUUGCUUGAAUCUGAAGAGCAAGGGCUUGGAUCUGAUCAUUCACAGAAACUGAAGAAGCUUGGCUUGCAGUCUGUAAAUUCUGUACUUCGUAACCCAAAGCAUAUAUCUGACCCCGCAACUCCAAGAGAACAUCGAGAAUUCUGCGAAAAUCUGCUGAAUUAUCAGUCUGCGUACUGGCUUCUGCUCGAUCAGAUGGAGUAAAGGCAGAUGAUGGCAAAUCAGCAUAGUUAUGCGGAUUGGGCGAUGAAACACCAUGUCCCUCCUCAGGAAAUUGAGAGGCAUAAACGUCCUCUGGAUCUGCUGGAGAGCGACUGACUUCUUCACUGGUAGCCGGAUAUGAGGACAUAUCUCUUUUCUCACAAUCUCCCCCUAUUUCCAUGCCUUCAGGUGGAGAAGAGUGUUCCUCAUACUCUCCUUCCUCUUGAUCUCCUUUCUCUCCUUUCUCUUCUUCUUCUGCUUCAAUUCUUUCCUCCUCAGCAUCUCUUUCUUAUGCUUCUCUCUCCUCUGUUUCUUUUUCCUCUGCUUCUUCUCGUUCUUCAGUCCUCUAUUAUGAGUCUUUCUCUUGAUGUUCCGUUGAUUCUGGAGCAGAACGACUCAAGUUCUUCAAGGCCAUAGCAGAAAUGGUGAUAUCAUCCUCAUCAUCUUCAUCCUCAACGAUGAGAGCUUUUCUUUUCUUGGAUGAAGCAACCAUGGGCUCCUUCCCUUUUCUUUUUGCUGCAGAAGAGAUUUGAUGAGGCUUGGCAGGAGUUGACUCCUUGAAUUUCUCCAACGUCUUGUUUAGUUCCUUCAGACGCAUUUUAGACACCAUUUUCAAUCCUACCACCAUGUGAUCACACGAUCGAACACAGAGAAUUCGUGGAGGCUGAAUAUUCAAAUGUCUGAAUAACUUUAUCACAAGAGCUGGAUAAGGAAGUUGACCCAUGUCCUUCACCACUGCUCUAUACAUGUGGAACAAAAUAGUGUGAGGAAGAGAAAACUUUUUCCCUGCAUUGAUGGCGUACAUCAGCUUUGCCUCUGAAUUGGAAACAUCAGUUUUUGAAGUAGACUUUGGCCUGAGGCAAUUAAUCACAAUCUUGUGAAGCAGAAUGUUGAACACACGUAUCCUUAAGUAGGAAAUCCUUCCCUCUGUCCUUCUAUCUUUAACAAGUUCCAAUGUGGUGCAACAGACACAUUGAUAGGUUGAUAUCUCCCUCUCUCAACCCUAAUCACAUCAGCCAACAUGUCUACAUCCACCACAUAAUCCUGAUCUCGAACACUAAACGAAAAUCUGUUCGCGUCCAGGAAACUGAGAUUUGAAUAGAAGUAUGCAGUGAGUUCAGCAUAGGCUUCUAUAGGUUCAGAACAAAAUUGCUCAAGUUGAAGAAGACUGAAUUUUUCCCUCAAAUUGACGUUCACAGAGUCAAGGAAAUCAAAGUCUACACUUCUAGGGUUUAUCACCCCACGCUUCAACAACUUAGUGUAAAGAUUCUUGUGUUCUUCCGAAUGGAACAAUUCUAUCCUUUUGCUCCGAAUACUUGCUGCAACACCCAUUCUCGGUUGAAAUUGACUGUACAACUUGUCAUCAUCAUUUUCGUCUAGCUGAUUCACUCCUCCAACACGCGGAUCACUUGGGAUGUUUGCAAGGGUUUCUUCUGCCAACCCUUUAGGGGCAAUUCUCAAACGCUCCAUAUUUUUUAAAAAGAUGUACUCAUUACCAUGCCCUUUGUCCUUGAGAAACUCAUCGAUGUAGUUCAAUGGAGUACCGGUCUUCUUUAAAGCACGAUAAAGCUUAUAAAUAAAGGAGGGCUUUUGAAUUCUUACAGGAUCUGCGCCUUCAACGAUUUCUUCCUCUUCUCUAUGACCAACAUCCUGUGGGCUAGACAGUGGAGAAUGACGCGGCUGAGAAUGUUGUGGGCUCUGCUGCUAACUGGGAGUCUCUUCUUCCUCGGUGAGAUCAAAGUGAGUAGGCCCCUCACUCAUUCUCUGCGGUCCCCUGCUUGCGAUUCUCGAAGACUUCCUUUGAGACGACAUCUUUCACAGUUUUCGGAAGAUUCCAAACUUGUUUUUCCCAAGAAAGAUGACAACUUUUUGAAGAUUAAACAAGAGAAGAAGACGCAAGUGGAAGAUCGAUGCCUUUUAGGGUUUUGGAGUAAGACGAAGAAGAACCGUUCGUAUAUAGGACAGUCGAAGAGAGGCAUCCGAAGCGUCAUAAAAGAAAGUAAAAAGAUGCCUUUUAAAAAUAACUGCCUUUUUCAAAAAUUAGAUAACUACCAUUUAAGACUAACUUCAUUUUCGAAAAAGAAAGAUAGCGAUAAUCACGGAAAUAGCAAAAAUCAAUUAUGGACAGAUAAUCGUACCUUUUCGAAAUUUAUUCUGAGAGAAAGAAUAACUUACAGUAAAGAAAACUCGAUUGACUGAGUCUGAGAGUCUCUAGACUUUAACCUCUUCAGACUUCAAGAUGUUGAGUCUGGAACGAAUAACUUCAAAUUGAUUUUUCUCCAAAGGCUUUGUAAAUAUAUCCACCAGUUGGUUCUUUGAGUCAACAAACUGAAUCGAAACUUCUCCAUUUUGAACAUGAUCUCUGAUGAAGUGAUGUCGAAUCUCUAUAUGCUUUGCUCUUGAGUGAAGAAUUGGAUUCUUGGUCAGAUUGAUUGCGCUGGUGUUGUCACACUUAAUCUCCGUGCAUGAAUCUUCAAUUCCAAAGUCUCUUAGCUGUUGUUUUAUCCACAUAAUUUGUGAGCAGCAACUUCCAAGAGCUACAUACUCUGCUUCUGCUGUAGAAAGAGCUACUAUAUUUUGCUUUCUUGAAAACCAAGACACUGUCCUACUUCCAAGUAGUUGACAAGUACCCGAGGUGCUCUUUCUAUCAACUCUGCAACCGGCUAGGUCUGCGUCUGAGUAUCCAAGAAGAGUAAAGUCUCCAUUUUUAGGAUACCAAAGACCAAGACUUGAAGUUGAAGCAAUGUAUUUGAUAAUACGCUUUGCAGCACUUAGAUGAGAUUCUUUAGGGUCUGCUUGAAAUCUAGCACAAAUACAAACACUAAACAAAAUGUCAGGUUUAGAAGCAGUAAAAUAAAGAAGUGAACCAAUGAUACUCCUGUAUAGCUUCUGGUCAACUUUCUUUCCUCCUUCAUCUUUGUCUAUCUUCAAAGAACUUGACAUUGGUAUGUCAGUCUUUUUGCAAUUUUCUAGUCCAAACUUUUUGACAAGAUCAUUAGCAUAUUUUUCUUGAUGAACAAAAGUUCCUUCCUUCAACUGUUUCACUUGAAGCCCGAGAAGAAGGUUAGCUCACCCAUCAUGCUCAUUUCAACUUCGUCCUGCAUAGACUUAGAGAAUUUCUUGCACAAACUUUCAUUAGAGGAUCCAAAAAUAAUAUCAUCUACAUAUAUUUGAACAAGUAGAAAACUUUUGUUUUCUCUUUUAAUAAAAAGAGUAGUGUCUACUUUACCUUUUACAAAUCUGUUUUGAAUUAAAAACUUACUCAACCUAUCGUACCAAGCUCAAGGUGCGUGUUUUAAACCAUAUAAUGUCUUUUUCAGUCUGAAUACUGAGUCUGGUUUCCUUGGGUCUUCAAACCCAGGUGAUUGUUCCACAUAGACUUCCUCAUGAAUGAAUCCAUUCAGGAAAGCGCUUUUGAUGUCCAUUUGGAAUAACCUGAAAUUUUUAUAACAGGCAAAAGCAAGUAAUAAUCGGAUUGCUUCUAACCUUGCUGCUGGUGCGUAAGUCUUGUCAUAGUCUAUCCCUUCUUCUUGCGUAUAUCCCUUGGCCACGAGUCUUGCUUUGUUUCUUACGACUUUUCCUUUCUCGUUCAUUUUGUUCCUGAAAACCCAUUUAGCUCUAAUAACAGAUUUACCUUUUGGUUUAGGAAUUAAUUCCCAGACAUCAUUAAUACUGAAUUGUCUGAGCUCUUCUUACAUAGCUUCAAUCCAGCUUUCAUCAGACAAAGCUUCUUCUAUGCUUUUGGGUUUUAUUUCAGAGACAAGAGCCACAGCACUAGACUCUUCGCGCCUUUUGGAUCUUGUGCGAAUUCCUUCUUUAAUGUCGCCAAUAAUGAGAUCUUUGGGAUGAUUGGACUUAUGCUUCCAGUUGCUGGUUGAAUUAUCAGGUUGAUGAUCACUUCCUUCAUUUGAAUCUUUAACAAUCAUUUGUUGCCGAUAUUUAGAAGUCUGAGCUGCUUCUUGAGAUUUAGACCUUGUAGAGUCUGGAGCAGGUUCAGAUUCUUCAAGAUGAGUCUGAAUAGAUUCAUUUUGCAUGGAAUCUUGAAAUCUGACAUUCAUUGAUUCUUCCACAGAUUGAGUCUUUUUGUUGUAGACUAUGUAGGCUUUGCUUGAGGUUGAAUAUCCAAGGAAGAUGCAUUCAUCUGACUUUUCUUCAAACUUGCCAACUCGAUCAUUUGCAUUUUUUAAUAUAAAGCAUUUACAUCCAAAUACAUGAAAAUAUGAAAUAAUAGGCUUCUUUUCUUUGAAUAGCUCAUAGGGGGUUUUUUCUAGAAUAGGCCUUAGAAAAACUCUAUUAAUAAUGUAACAUGCUGUAGAAACUGCUUCGGCCCAAAAACGUGAAGAAAUAUUACUUUCAAUUAAAAGAGUUCUAACCAUUUCUUGAAGCGACCUAUUCUUUCUUUCCACAACUCCGUUUUGCUCUGGAGUAUAUGGAGAGGAAAACACAUGCUGAAAACCAGAUUUUAUCACAGAAUUUUGUAAAAUCUUGAUUUUCAAAUUCACCUCCAUGAUCUGUUUUUAUGCUUGAAAUAACAUACCAUUUUUCAUUUUGAACCUUUUUAGCGAAUUUUUCAAAGUAAGAAAAGGUUUCAGACUUACUUGCCAGAAAAUAUACCCAAGUAAAUUGUAACUAGUCAUCCACAAUUACUAGGCAAUAUUUCUUACCUCUAAUACUCUGAGUUCUAGUUGGUCCAAAGAGAUCCAUAUGCAGAAGCUGCAGUACACGAUUAGUGGAAACUUGAUUUAUUGGUUUAAAGGAAUUUCUUACCUGUUUUCCCAAUAUGCAUGGUGUACAUAGAUCAGACUUUUGGUAUGACAGAUUGGGUAAACCACGAACAAGCUUUUUUGUUGAAAUUUUGGCUAUCUGCUUCAUAUUAACGUGCCCAAGCUUUCUGUGCCAUAGGUUUGCUUCGUCUUGAAUUGAGAUCAGACAUUGCGAUUCAUCUGGUUUCACAUCCAAGAGGUAGAUAUUUCCAUGUCUUCGACCCAUGAAUGACUGAGUAUAAUCUUUACUAGUUCCUGAACAUAUUCCUUCUUGAAAACUGAUUUUGAAACUGGUAUCGCAUAGCUGACUGAUACUGAGUAAAUUGUAGUUAAGUCAUUCCACUAAGGAAACAUUGCUGAUUGUGAGGUUUCCAAUCUUUACAGUUCCAAAUCCCACAAUUCUUCCUUUGCUAUUUCCUCCAAAUGAGACUUUUCCACCAUUUACUUGAACAAGCUUUAUGAAGCAAUUUGAAUCUCCUGUCAUAUGUCUUGAGCAUGCACUAUCCAGAUACCAUUUUACCUUUUUCUUGAUAGUGACCUGCAUUUAGAAAAGAGACUCAAGCUUUCUUUGGUACCCAUAUUUUCUUGGGUCCAUUUGUGUUAGUAUGAUAUGCAGUUUUAGCCCAUACUUUCUUAACAGGUUUCCAAACCAUAGGACAUUCUUUCUCAAAAUGAUCUAAACUAUUGCACUUAGAACAUCUGAGAGCAUUACGACCUACUGGUUUUACAAAAACCUUUUUGAAAUGAUUUUUGUAAGCAUCCCUUGAGGGUCUUUGCUUAAUUCUUUCCUUCACUUUAGGAAAAUCAAUUAAAUGAAUGGUUUUUGCUGUUAUUCCCAAACCAGAUUUAUUGAAAUAAGGUCUUUGUACUGAAAGAAUUUUCUCAAGUUUCUCAGAUCCUAUUGAAAAUCUUUUUGAAAUAUUUGAUAUGUCCUUUUUUAGAAAUUCAUUUUCUUUUAGAAGAUUAUCUUCACUUUCUUUAAGAGAAGAAACAUUUGUGUCUAAACAUUUAAUCUUUUCUUUCAAAACAUUUUCCUAUUGUUUCAAUGCAGAAUUAUCCUUUUUGAGUUUAGAAAUCCUUUUAAGAGAAGUCUUAAGACUAAAACAUAACUCAUCAAUGUAUUUAGAAACUUUAACAGGGAUUUUGAAGUUACUCACCUCGAAUUCACUGUCUGAAUCUGAGUCUGUCUCAAAGUUUGAAUCUGAAUCCGAUUGUGCCAUUAAACAUAUAUUGGCAUAAUCAUCAUCACUUUCUUCACACUCUGUAUCACUCCAGGUCUCUGCUUUGAGAGCCUUUCGAUACUUUUUAGCUUUUCCUUUCUUCUUCCUCAGAAGCGGACAGUUGGGUCUGAUGUGUCCCUUUUUCUUACAUUCAAAGCAGACUACAUCUUUGUUUGAUUCAUCAUCCUCAACAGACUUAGUCUGUUGGUUUUGAAAACUUUGUUUCUUUGGAUUGAAUCUUCUUCCUUUUCUGUUUAGCUUUCUGAAUCUUCUUAUCAUGAGAGCAAGCUCCUCAUCAUCCAUAUCAUCUUCAAAAUCUUCAAAAUCAUCAUUGGAUUUUAAUGUAAUGGAUUUCUUACCUUUAGGAUCUUCGUCUUCAUUGAUUCGCUCCACUUCAUAAGACUGAAGAGUCCCAACCAACUCAUCGACAGAUAGUGGCAUGAUUCUUUGUGUCUCUCUUAUUGAGGUCUUUAUGUGAUUCCAACCUUGGAGAGUCCAUGCAGUAGCUUGUUUACCUUCAUGGGAUCAUAAAUUGGUUGACCUUGAUUUUCAAGACCAUUCACGAUUUCUGUAAAACGACUAAACAUGUCAAUUAUAGAUUCUCCCGAUUUCAUUUUGAAGGCUUCGUAUUGACCGAGGAGAAUGUUGAUUCUGGUCUCUUUCAAUCGAUCUGUUCCUUCAUAGGUAAUAUGUAAUCUAUCCCAGACUUCUUUCGCUGUAACACAAGAAGAUAUUAUGUUAUAUUCAGUAGGUGACAAAGCACAAUAUAAAGAAUAAAUUGCUUUUGUAUCAAGAGCUUGUCUCUUGAUUAUCUCUUCCUGAGUCAUUUCACUAGACUCAACAGCUUCUUUUCCUCUCUUUGAGACAGGUGCAGCUUUAGGAAUAAUUCCCUUUUUUACAACGUCCCAGUCCAGAGGAUCCUUUGACCUUAGAAACGCCUUCAUUUUGUUUUUCCAUAUGUUGUAUUCUUUUCCAUCAAAGUAAGGUGGUUUGGUAUUGCUUUGCCCUUCUACCAACCCUGGAGCUAACAUACUAGCCAUGGAUCUUUAACUCUGAAGUAAAACACUUCAAACAAAGUGAGUACACAAGCUCUGAUACCAAUUGAGAUAGCUAGUAUAAGCACCUAGAGGGGGUGAAUAGGUGCAAAAACAAUUUCUCGUGAUAUGUGAGCAAUAUUAGACAAUGAAAAUGAGGCUCGCCUUUUUGAUAUCACAAGUAAUUAUGAUCAAAGUAAAAGAGAGUAGGGAAGAGAAAAUGAACACAAGGUUUAUAGUGGUUCGGCUUAUUUCAAGCCUAUGUCCACUCUUCCGCAUUGACAGCCCACCGCUGGAUUUCACUAUGAACAAAAGAGAUUUUACGGCAAUGUUCUCCCUUGAUUCCACAGUGUAGAUAUUCUACAACACUUCCUCAAGGUUUCUCACGAAUAUAGACUCUCUUUUGCAUACAAGAUUUCGCUCAGCAAAUGAAUUGACUAAGAACAAGGAGCUUCAGACUUUGGAAUUCUUCUAUUGUACACACCCUCGAACAACUGGAACGUCUUCCUUUUAUACUCCUUUAUGCCAUCAUACCCGUUGGCACUUACCAAAGGAAUUCCUCAAAUCUACCCGUUGGACAGAAUCAAUUAGGAAAAUCAUUCGAGUUAUUUAAGAAACAUGUCGAUAGCCCAUCAAUCAUGUUCGCCCAUACAAUCAGGAUCUCGGUUUCCAUAAGUAGAACAUUCCAAGUAUACUUCACCAAUCAUCAGAUCCUUAAUCAAUCUUGAUUUGAGUAAAGGAUUCCGUUAUGUCAUAUCCAGCCAAGAGAUCUUCAUCAGUUGAUAAGAUCAAAUCCUUAACGAAACAUCCAGUCCUAGAUAGACCUUCUUCGACAAACUAGAAACUGUCAAUGAGGAUAGACUUUGAGUCUUGAGUCUGGUAGUCCGGAGGUCUUCAGACUUUAAAUAGUAGAGUCUACAAAUCUUCAGACUAGACUGAUGGAAACGUUUUGUCAACUUCAAAACACUUCAUGAAGAUUUCUCCAACAAGUAUUUCUAUUUGUACUUCUUUCCACUCUUCCUAUCACAACUCACUAGCGAUGGAAGUAUUUCUUUUUAUUCUUCCAAUUCUGUGCUGUGUGCCUUUUGCCUUCUCCUCUUCUUGAAGUCUCCGAAUCGGAGUCACCAUAGUAAGUUAUCGCAAAUCACGUAGAGAAAGGAUAAUCUCGCGAUGAAUCUGUCUAUCUUCUCCUCGACCAUGGAAGGCAUUGCGUGGUGAGGAUGGAUCUACACGUUGUGCAUCCUGCACUUCGUGUUCGCUUGCCAGUUCCUUCACCUUCAGCCUCUCGUCUCUACCUUAGGUACAUCAUUCUAGAUAGGGGUGAGCAUCGAUCUAGGGUCAAUCUUGAACCAGCCCUAAACCGGCCCAACCCUGCUGAUCCUAAUCCGUUUCCCAGUGACAUUGGAUUGGUCUUUGGUCUUGGGAUUCCUAGACCAGCACUGUACGGGUUGGUCAUCGGUUCUGGGAGUUUAAAAUUGGUCCAACCCGAACCAACCCUAACUCUAUAUAUAUUGUAUAUCUAAUAUAUUAUUUAUAAUUUUUUAUGAAGAAAAAACCCUAAAAUAAACGGUGUCAAUAAUAUUAAACAGCUCAUUAGUGAGGAGUUCAAGUAAUUUUACACCGUUCUUUAAUAACUUAUAUUUUUAAUGCCUUUUACGGCGUCAAUAACCAUAAUUUACAAAGGAGAAAAACAUUUUUAUAAGGAAUCCUUAUGGCGUCCAAAAUGGUAUAAAAAGCUUCUCACAGCAUCUUCCUUUAGUACUUGUUCUCUUCUAUUUUAUAUGUUCUCUUAGUCUUCAAUUUGCUAAAAUCAAAAGAAACAGCUUCUCUACUUGCCACUUGACACUCGUUUUGCUCGCUUUGUGUCACUCAUGCUGCUCGUCGCUUGAUGCUCAACAAGCUUGUUGCUCUCCGCUCUUUGCUCAAUGCUCACCCCACUCGACGCUCGCCGCUCGCCUCUCUUAGCUAACCUCGCUUGUCACCAAGCCCAUUGGAUCAGUUCGGUCUCCGGUCGCCUUUUCAGGAAAUACAAUACUAAAAAUGAAAUUAAAACUUAUUGGUUGGUCCAGGGUUAACCUUGGAAUUAGACCGAACUCAUUAGGUCGGUCCGGUUAUCGAUCGUCUUUUUAGGGAGUACAAAAAAUGAACUAAAAAAAUUAUUGGUCUUGGGUUGACCUUGGAACCAGAUUGAAUCCACUAGGUCGGUCCGAUCCUCGGUCUAGAGCUCAAUAAGGUUGGUUCUUGAUACUAAAAAUUGAGAAUCAGUAUUGUGCGGAUUGUUCUUAGGGUUAGGGGGUGGACCGGCUUAACUCAGAUCAUGCUCACUCCUAAUUCUGGAUUAGAUCUAUGAACUCAUUGCCUGAUGGAGACUUUGAGAGGUUACAGUGUGCUUUAAAGCUUGAGCAACUGGUUUUCUAUUUGAGUAAUUUAUUGAUCAUCGUGGCCAUUGAUUUUGCAUAGAGACACCGAAAAGAGAAUGUUAGAUGAAGAAAAUUAGAAUGAAUAGUACUAGCUGUGUUAAUCCAUGCAUUUUCAUUUUUGCCAUCAUAUUACCGAUUUGGAAGAAAAUUAGCUGUCCUUGUCCCCCCUUCUUUCAAUCUUCAUUGUAGCGUCAAUUGACCCAGAAUGUUCAGUUUAAACAUUGCAUGACAUCUAAAUCGAUCAUUGCAUAACGCAAUCCUAUUGAAAUGUUAAAUCCCCCCCCCCCCCACAUAGAAACCUUCCCGGUAUCAAUAAUUUGCUAUCCUGACUACAGCUUAAAGAUAGAGCCAGAGAGAGAGAGAGAGAGAGAGAGAGAGAGAGUUUUUGUCCGGACAGACGGUGAUUAUACCAGAUGGGCGCCUUGCAAAGAUGACUUCAAAAAAUAUGAGAAAAUUUGUUGCCCUGCCUAGACGUUAUCGUAUUUUGCUGUUUUGGAUAGGUAUCCAAAUACUUUUCUUGCUUUUUGAUAAGUAAGUGAAUUUGAUUAGAAUAAACUGCGAAAAAAAUAAAAUUAGCUUAGAUUAAAUUCAAUAUGUAACAUGACUCAUGCUCUUUAUCGAGUAAAAAAUUGUAUGGAUUUUCACUAUUUUUCGUAAGAGAAAAGUUAAAAAUAAUUUGUAUAACCAUCAAUAAAAUAAUAAUUGACAUUAUUAUAUUAGAGAAUUCAAUUAACUAACCUUAGAAAAUGCAAUAAAUGCUAAGAAAAAGAAGGUAGCAAAGUUAAUUUCUGAGCAAGAAAAAAAAUCAUGAGUCAAUUUUUUUAUUUUUUGAAAAAAAAAAUAAAAAGGGAAGGGCGAUUGCCGAGUGGCCCUCCCCACUCUAUCAAUUGUGAUGUGUCUUGUAUGGGUACCAUGUACAUAUAUGGCAAAGGUAAGGAUGUAUUUUCUAGCUACAACUCGUAUUUGAUAUCAAUGAACUAUAUCCUGAUUAUGGACAGUUUAAUGAAUUGUUAAAUAUUAUUUUAUUGAGGGGAUCUUUGAUCUUCGGUGUAUCAUUGGGUAUGUAAUGAUGAUAAUCAACGUAUUGAGAAUCGCAAUAUAUUCUUAUUUAGUUGCUUAGGAAUUGUUUUUGAGACACUUUUAAAAUAAAUAUUUUUGAUAUUACACUUUACUGCCCCAAGUAGAAUAAUUUAGAAUACAAAAGGGCACCCUUCAAAUGAUGCAAAUAUAUUAUUGUCCAAAAAUUGUAAUUGCGAAGCUUGUUCAUAAGGAAAACUCAUUACUGAACAUUUUAUAACAAAGGUUAAUCUUGAAUGCCCUUUAUUCCUGCAAAGAAUUCAUUGUGAUAUUUGUAGAUCAAUGUAACCACCAAGUGGACCGUUUCGAUAUUUUAUGGUAUUAGUGGUGUAGAUGAUCCCAUAAUUGUCUAUUAUCUAUGCACAAUAUCACUUUUACAUGUUUACUUACGCAGAUUAUAAAACUCCGGACACAAUUCACUAAUUAUCCAAUUAAAAGCAUAAGGAUGGAUAAUGCUGGUGAAUUUACAUCAAAGAGUUUUGAUAUCUAUUGUGCUUCAUUCGAAAUCGAGGUUGAGCACCCAGUCGCAUAUGUUCAUAUCCAAAAUGGAUUGGCAGAAUCAUUGAUUAAACAUAUCCAAAUUAUUACCUGAACUCAAUUAGCCAUAAUGAAUCUCAACGAUACAGCAUGGGGUUAUGCAGUUUUGCAUGCGGCAGACCUAAUAAGAUUGCACCCCACAUCUAGUCUUUUACAAUCUCUCAUUCAAAGCAUUCUUGAUUAUGAACCAGACAUUUCACAUUUAUGCACAUUGAUUGUGCAGUAGAGGUGCCUGUAGCACAAAGAACAAAAAUGGGUUCCUAACGCCAUUUGGGCAUUUAUGUUUGUUGGGUUUAAUUCACCAUCCAUCAUUAGGUUCUUAAAACCAACUAUUGGUGAUCUUUUUACUGCCAAAUUCGUCGAUUGUCAUUUCGAUGAGACUAUGUUUUCAUCAAUUAGGACACCUACAACUCCUAUGAUUACAAAACAAAACCAGUUAAGCUUUUCUCCCGGAAUAAGAAAAAUUUAUUUCAAUUAGAUCCAAGGACUCCUAAGUGCAAAAACGAGGUGCAUCGCAUAAUCCAUUUACAGGCUAUAGCCAAUAGACUUCCUGAUACAUUUAAUGACGUUACUAAGAUAACGAAGUCUCAUAUUCCAGCUACAAAUGCUCCAACUAGGAUAGAUGUUGUCGAAGGAUAGGCUAAAAUGGAUCAAACCCCCCCCCCCACUUGAAGCGUGGUAGACCGAUAUGAUCAAAAGAUACUGUUCCUCGAAAACAAAGAUGAAAGAAUCAAGAAUCCGCUCCAGAAGAACCUGGUGUUGUGCUUGCUCCCAAAGAGCUUAUUGCCCCUAAAGAGGCACAAACUCAUGAAAGGAACACCAACCCGAGGAAUACUAAGAAUUCCAUUACAUAUUAUAAUGAGAUUUGUGAUCAAAAUGAAAUUAUCAUCGAUAAUGCUUUUGCAUUCUCAGUUGCUCAUAAAAUUAUGGAUAAUGAUUGUGAAAAAAUGAGCUUACUUUUUGUCAUAGAUAUAGAGUGAUAUAUUAGAAAUAAAAUUUUCUCCUAUGGUUUUCUCUACUAUAUUUGGUAUUUAUCUGCUUUCUUUACUCAAUCUCUCUAUUAUCUCUAUUAUAUAUUUGCAACGCAAUAUUAUACAAUACGACACAGCAUUUUUGUUUUCCUCUUGCAUUUCGUACCUCGUGCCGUAUCAAAUUCGAGUGUUCAUCGAGCGCAGUCUUUGGGUGUUUUUUUUUUUCUUUCUUUCUUUUUUAUAAAUAUUGCUAAGAGGAGAGAAUAAUGAAGGUGGAUGCAUGAAGGGGCAAUAGGAUAAAACCGCCGGUUGCACCGGUUGCUUUUGGCCUUUCUUCUUUUCUUUUUCUAAGUGUUUUGUAUGUAAAGAGAGAUACUUCGUUCCUUGUUUGACGAGUACCAGAUCUCUUCCAAUCCAAACCACCAAAAAAAUUGAAAAUAAAAAUGAGAGUUGCGAGCCUCUUUUUGCUGUUGUUUGACGCGGUAGAAACAAGCGAUGUUUCAUUAGAUAGGCAGUCAGCCUAAUAGGAGAGUUGGGGGUGGGGGGACAGUACGGUAAUGCUAAUCCCAAAUUGAUUUUAUAGUUGGGAUGCAUUUAUUUAAUGAAAAAUAAAUGAUUUGAAAAAUAUUUUCCUAAUAAUAAUUGCUUAUAUUACUUACAUCUUCCACAAGAAUAUUUAUACAUAAAUUGUUGUUGAUAAUGAAAAAUAUUUUUAAUUGACUACUUAUUUCAAGUAAUGUAAACGAUGAAUUUUUAGGGAAUAUUUCCAAAUUAGUCUUUUUUUUUUUUUACGAAAUAAAUAGAACAUUCAUGAGCCUUAAAACUUAUUUUGGGCCGGCUUGCCCCUUUGCAUAAGAUUACAUGCAUUAGUUUGGCUCGAAUUGUGCAGGGCCAUGGAUUAUGAGUCCAAUUAUAACCACUCUAAGAACACUCGACUAAUACACUAUAAAAUUCAAGAGCAAAUUUGUGUGUUUUAAUAGCGUCCGUUCUUCCAUUUGUGGGAAAUUAGUACACAUAUAUUUCAGCAUAGAUUUUUUUCGCAAAAUUGUAUCAUAUUUCAAAUAAAUCUCCCUAUCUAGAAUAAAACAAAGGCAUAAUUCUUAGUUCAAAUGAUGUGUUAAUGUAAAAUAUAAGACUUGAUAACAAUUAGGAAAUUGUUAAUUUUUGUUAUUAUAUGACGUAGGGAGAUUCAUAUGUAAUUAACGAAACUAGUGUAAAUUUGAGAGAAAAUAAUAAAAAUCUUUCAAGGAACUUGACAGGUUGAGUUGAAACAAAAUGUAAGAAUUUUCAACAAUCGCUAAUUUGCAACGUUAAAACUCAUUAAAACUAAUUCCUUUUCCUUUUUGUUGAACAAAACUUGUGUUAUUGAAUGAGGCAAAGUACAAAUUUUGGUUGAAAGAAAAAUGAGUGGAGAGUGCAAAAAAGAAGUCCUUGAAUGGAGAGGGAUCCAUUCCAAUUUAGAGUUAUGGGAUAAUUCCACUAAAAAUUAUAAAUUUCAUACUCCAUGACAUAGUUAUUUAAACUAAUUUUGUUUUACAAAAAAACCCAAACUGCAUACCCUAUGACAAUUCACCCAAAAUUAAUUUUCAUCUCACAUAAAAUCCCAAACUAAUACCUCAUGAUAUAUUUGAUGGUUUUAUUAAUAUUGUGAUGGGCCUAAGUUGGCCUGUCCGCCCAUGUUGGGCCUAAAAGCCUGGCCCACAAAAUUAGGGCCCAUGGAUGGAGGGAUACGUUGAAGAGUUGUAACUUUUGGGGGACGUCUUUUGCUGAAGGGACAUGUCUUUUGGAGAAGACGUAUUUAAGGGGAGAAAAGAAAAAAGAAAAUGCACCUUUUGGACGUACGCGCACUUUUUCUUUUCCCCUCUCCCAAAAACCAAUGUAAGUUUUCUCCCCUUUUGAACCAACAGUAGGCUCCUUGGUAGACCGGGAUCAGAUUCUUCCUCGAUCUUCAGCAUUGGUGUUUAAUAUGUGGUUAACAAGGUACGCUCGAUUACGUGGUGUGCUUUAAGAUUGGUGAUACAUGUUCUUUCUAGGCUUGUCUUCCGCAUUCGUUUCAGGGGUUCAAUUUAGUGUCGAAUCCGGUUUUUUGGGAAUUCGACAAUCCCAACAUUGGUAUCAGAGCCCUAGUUCAUGUUUUCCCGUUCCCUUUCAUGUUUAUGAAUGAUUUACUGAUUGAUUUUUCGUGAAAUUAAUCGGCCGACACCGAUCGGGGAGGAAAAACCCGACACCCGAGCACUGUUCACCCAUUUUUUUCGAUUUUUUGUAAGUCAAAAUUUUUUUUCUAACAGCGUAGGAUCGAAGCCCUGUCGAGACGAGAAAAACGAGUGGCGGAUUGACGACGGGGGCCGUCGGACGCGCCGCCACGCGCGACCGGAACGAGGAGGGGUCGUCAGCGCGUGCAACGCACGCACGAAAGCCUGGCGCAUGCCGCGCACGCGCAGAAGCCUAGCGCGUGCCGCGCACGCGCCAGCUGACUCUGCGUGACGUCAGCCCGCCCAUGUACAUGGCACGUGCCAGUCGGUUUACCCGACUAGCUGACCGAGCUAGCCGGUUCGACCUACCGCCGUUAGGGGUGUGCAUGGUCCGAGCGGGCGGUUCCCGACCUAGAACCAGGAACCGCCCGCUAAGGACCGAUUCCGAAAAAUUGGAUCCGGGAUCCACCCGUUUGUUGCAUGGAUCCACCCGGGAACCAGACCGCCGGUUCGGUCCGGUUCCCGGGUGGAUCCACGGAACCGAUCUUGACGUGAAAAAUCGACUCAAUUGGACACAAAAAAUUCAAGAAUUAGAGAAAUCUCGCUCGGCUAUUCUAUCACCAAAACAGGUAGUGCUAAGAGGGUUCGUGGGGAAGAGUUUCAGUCAUAAAAACCCCUACUCGGCUCGAAGACGGCGGCGCGAAGGCCAGUUAGAGACGAAUCGAACUUCAGUCAGCCGGGAACGAACGGUUUGAACCAAAAGGAAACUCACCGGAAAUGCUGAGGUUUGGGAACGAGAAGUCUUCUGCUCGAGGUCGGCGAUUGGCGUCGAGGAUAGGCGAGCAAUGCUCGACGUCGAUCCACUUCUCCCUCACUGUUGGUGUGGUGGUCGACGCGGAGGCGAGUUGUGGAGUCGCGGGUCACUGCUGGGCGGAGCAGAGGCUAUGGCGAGUGGUAGCCGGUGCGAGGGGGCAAACAACAGCAGUAGCCGGCACGAGGGGGCGAACACGCCGAACAGCAGUCGCGGCCCGCGGGUCACUGCUGGGCGGAGACAAUCACCGAAGAACCGAAGAAGUUGAAGAAGUCGAAGAAGUCGAAGAAGAAGAGAGACAGAGAAGAGAGACAGACAGUCACAGAACAGAAGAACCGAAGAAGUUGAAGACAUUGGACAGAGGAGAGAAGUCUCGGUUAGGGUUUGUUUUAUUUUAGUAAUAUUUUAAUAUUAAGAAGGUUCUGGUCCGGUCUGGGUGGGCGGGCGGGCGGAUCUGCCCAUGGAACCGGGAACCGGACCGGUUCCCUCAAGAACCGUCGUUUCCGAGUGGUUCCGGUCCGGUUCCGGGCGGUCCGGGCAGUUCCCGGGUAUUUUGCACACCCUUAGCCGCCGUGACUCANNNNNNNNNNNNNNNNNNNNNNNNNNNNNNNNNNNNNNNNNNNNNNNNNNNNNNNNNNNNNNNNNNNNNNNNNNNNNNNNNNNNNNNNNNNNNNNNNNNNGCUCUCUCUCCUCCCCUCCCCUCCCCCACGCCACAACCAGCUCCCCUGCCCCCUCAGUUUCUUCCUCACAAUCUUCUCAACUCUUUCGGUCGUCUCAUCGCUGUCGCCUUCGGCCCUUCCUCCUUCGCAGCAGCUGCAGCCUCGCCGCCGGCCCUCCAUCGCAGCCUCGCCUCAGUUUAUGCUCUUUCUCUCGCUGUCGCGGCCUCAUCUCCGCUUCCUCGGCCUCUUCCUCGCCUCACCUCUACCCAUCAUCGUCUUUUUCAACAAUUUCUCUCUCGGACACUCGUGUCGACAAAAGUUGACCAUGUGUCGGAUUUCUCGACCGCGUGUCCGAGCGUAUCGGACACGUCGACAUAUGUCGGACACGACAUGGAAGCCUCAACGUGUCCGUGCCUCAUAGGUUGCGACUCUCUUCUUGUUGUUUGUCAUGGUAGAAAGCGGAGAAUAGGGAUUAGAUAGUUGUUUAUUGCGAUAACAAGGGGGAAGACACCCUGUAGUUAUGCUAAUCACGUGUUGAGUGACUUAAGGCAAUUCAGAUGCUAUUCAUCGAAAGGACAUCACUGCAUUCCAUUCAAUUAUUGAGAGGACUUCCUGUACAAUUUUCCUCUUUUGACUCAAAGUUGACCAUCGCUCUCUUUUGCAUCUUCUUCCUCCUCCUCUUCCUUUUCUCAAUCAUCUCUCUGCUCAGAGUUUCACUACAGAGUCACUAUAGACCAUGGUUUCAUUCUGCAAUCUCCUUUCUUUCUUUCUUUCCGUAUCCUUCAUUUUGCUAUCGUCAUUCUCCAACUUCAUUGACGCUCAAGCUCAUGAUUAUGAUUCAAUUGCCACGCUUUCAACACGGUGGACGAAUAAUGCAACAGCCAAUCACUUCACCCGACAUAUCGAUGGAUCCAUCGUGCAGGCAAUUAUACUCCGAGGCAAAGAAGAAGUUUUGAACCUUACCUAUGCCUGCGGCUUCUACUGUAAUGGUACCUGCAACUCUUCCCUCCUUGUUGUUUGCAUGGUCCGACUUAACGAUAGUGGCUUAAUUUCUGAGUACACCAUUCAACAAAUAGUGUGGUCUGCCAAUUGAAAUAAUCCUGUAAAGAUCAGUGCGACGUUGGAGCUCACGUCUGAAGGCGAUUUGGUGUUGAAAGAUGCCAAUGAUACGAUUGCUUGAUCUACAAUCACUUCUGGAAAGUCCGUGGUAGGCUUGAACUUGACAGAUUUGGAGAACCUCGUGUUGUUUGAUAAGGACAAUGAAACUGUUUGGCAGUCUUUCGAUGAGCCAACCGACUCACUUGUCCUCGGACAAAAGUUGAGGCAGGGACAAAGAUUGAUGGCGAGUGUUUCCAAGACAAAUUGGAACAAUGACUAUAUGAUUUCGCUUUCCAUGGAUGGUGAUCUUUUACGUGCUCAAGUGGAGACUAAUCCUCCUCAAAUAUAUUUUGAGGAUAGAGGUCCAACUUGGAAUGCAAGCAUCGAGUUUCCUUAUGUUGAGUUUGUAAAUGGAAGCUUGUCUUGGAUCUUAGAUUCUACCUCAAAUUAUACGUUUAGAUUAGUCACUCCGGUAUCUUUUGCACAAUACAUGAAGCUGGGCUCGGAUGGGCAUUUAAGAGUGUAUGAUUAUGAUGAGUUCGGGAGGUGGGUAGAAGUGGACGAUCUUUUUGGAUUGGAGGACUGUCUUUGGGCCCGUUUGGUUCGGCUUUUGGGGAAUGCAUUUACCAAAAUGCAAAUACCUUUGGGUGAAUGGGAUUUUCCGAAAUGCAAAUAUCGUUUGGUAAAAUUUGCAUUUGUAAAUUACUUUUAUUAAAUUAAAAAAAAACCAAAAAAAAAUCUAUUUUUCAUUUUUUGAAAUCCGACCACCGGACCGCCGGAUCCGGCGACCGGACCGUCGGAUUUGGUGGCCGGACCGUUGGAUCCGGCGGCCGGAUGGCCGGAUCUGGCCGCCUGGGUCGCGCGACCUCAGGCGACCGUCACCUGGGGUCGCACGACCUCAGGCGACAGUCGCCGGGGUUGCGCUGGCGGCCGGAUGGCCAGAUCUGGCCGCCUGGGGUCGCGCGACCUCAGGCAACGGUCGCCGGGGUCGCGCUGGCGGCCGAAUGGCCAGAUCUAGCCGCCUGGGUCGUGCGACCUCAGGCGGCCGUCGCCUGGGGUCGCGCGACCUAGGCGACGGCCGUGCGCGACCUAGGCGACCGUCGCCUGGGGUCGCUCGACCCCAACAACUGUCGACUGCCUGAGGUCGCGCGAUCCAGGCGGCCGACCCCUGGGUCGCGAGAUCCGGACCUCGCCUGAGGUCCGGCGACCCCAGGCGACGGUCGCCGGGGUCGGGCGACCCUCAGGCGGCGGUCGCCGGCGCGCGCCAUCCCUUCGCCGGUGGUCGUCGGCUUCCGAUCAGCAGCUUGGAGAGGUUGGAGAAGAUAAACAGUAACCGAGCUACUUGCAUUCCCAGGAUGCAACUUGCCAAUGCACCCCAAGAGCUCCAUUGGGCUAAAGGUCUUUAGACUCCUUUGGAGAUGCAAUUGCAUCUUGCCAAAGUCGCGCAAAAAUACGAACCAAACGCAUUUGCAUUUUGCCAAAGGACUUUAGAGUCCAAAUGAGCAUUUGCAAUGCUGAACCAAACAGGCCCUUUAUCCGACGGUGUGUGGGCAAUAUGGAAUUUGUUCCAAUGGGCAAUGUAGUUGUCCGACUUCGAGUGCGGGGACAAGCUAUUUCCAGCUUGUAGAUGAUAGGUAGCCUAAUCUUGGGUGUUCCGAGAAUCUUCCAUUGUCUCGUGGGGCUUCACAACAACAUUUCCUGGAGCUCAAAAAUAUCGUGUAUUUCAAUUUCACUCCAAAUCUCAAGGACAUAGAUGCUUCAAGUUGUAAAGAGGCCUGCGCAAAGAAUUUUUCAUGCAAAGCAGCUAUAUUUCAGUAUGAAUCGAAUCGCACUAAUGGCAGUUGUUACUUACCAACACAGGUUUUUUCACUUAUGAAUGUUGAUGAGAUAAUGAAUUCUACUGCCUACCUUAAAGUACAAAUUAUGGCCACUGAAGCUCCUACUGCUUUGGUUGACAAUCGAACGAGCAACCGUCUCCCUAUAAUACUUGGUUCCAAUCUUGGAGCUCUAUUAGCCAUGAUGAUUUUCAUCGUAGCCAUAGGUUUGUUUGUUCAAAAGAGAGACAAUAAUCAAGCAGAGGAGGAUUACCUUGAUCAAGUACCUGGAAUGCCCACUAGAUUCACAUAUGACGAUCUAAAAACCAUCAUAGAUGAAUUCAGUAAAAAGCUUGGUGAAGGUGGUUUUGGUUCUGUUUUCGAAGGUACUCUAAGUGACGGCACAAAAGUUGCAGUGAAACGCCUUGAUGGUUUUGGGCAGGUUAAGAAAUCCUUUCUAGCUGAAGUUGAGACUAUUGGCAGCAUCCAUCAUGUGAACUUGGUAAGACUCAUGGGAUUUUGUGCUGAGAAAUCCCAUAGGCUCCUUAUUUAUGAGUACAUGUCAAAUGGGUCUCUAGAUAGAUGGAUCUUUUACAAAUCCAAUGAAUGUGUUCUCGACUGGCAACAAAGGAAGAAGAUCAUUCUCGAUAUAGCAAAAGGACUUAAUUAUCUUCAUGAAGAUUACAGACAGAAGAUAGUUCACUUAGACAUCAAACCUCAAAAUAUCCUCUUAGAUGGAAAUUUCAAUGCUAAGGUUGCUGAUUUUGGAUUAUCGAAGUUGAUAGACAAGGACCAAAGCCAAGUCUUCACAACAAUGAGAGGAACUCCUGGUUAUUUGGCCCCCGAAUGGCUGAGUGUAGCAAUCACUGAAAAGGUCGAUGUAUAUAGCUUUGGUGUGGUAAUCUUGGAGAUAGUGUGUGGGAGAAAAAUUUUCAAUCACUCUCGAGAUGAAGAAGACAUGUAUUUAUUGAGCCUUCUUAAGAGAAAGGCAGAAGAGGAACGGUUGCUGGACAUUGUGGAUAAGGCUAGUGAUGACAUGCAACUAAAUGGACCACAUGCGGUGAAUAUGAUGAGGAUUGCCGCAUGGUGCUUGCAAGGAGACUAUAUGAAGAGGCCCUCCAUGUCGAUGGUCAUCAAGGCAUUAGAGGGCAUCAUGGGAGUUCAAGAAGACUUGGAUUAUGACUUCUCUACUCAGCCUUCCACUAGUGGAGUAGUGAGAUUUGGUCAGAUGGACGUCGAAUUCAAUGCUAUUACUGCAUUGCUACCCUCAGUUCUAAGUGGUCCACGAUGAUGUAGCAAAUUUAUAAGAACAUUUCUUCCCAAUAUGUCAAGUGGCAAAACGUGCAUGCGAUUAAAUUUUUCAAACUGUGAGGACUCUAGCUUGUCAUUCUCUUUUCAAGCCCAUAAAAAGGCUUGUGACAUGAUAUUAUUUCUCGUUUUCACUUUGCCAAUUAGUGAACUUUGCUAUAACUUGGCAAAGGAUUGAGUUGGUUAGAAUAUUGCAAUUUGGUUUUAUUGCUUAUGUAGAAAUCGGUCAUGUUCAUGUUUGUUGUGUGCUAGUCUUGGGAAAGGAGGAAACUAUUGAGUCAUUUGUGUAAAAAGCCGCUGCAAGACUAGUCAAUUGCUGGUAAUGUCUUUUGGCAGUUUUACCAGUCAUGGAUGCAAAUCUAAUAUACUUUUGGGUUCCAACACUUGAUAUCCUUAGGAUUUGAUGACUCUACCUUUCAUGACUUGCUCAUUUCAAGGUUAUUGAGUUAUAUUUAGUUUAUUUUGUGAGCGCACGAUUAAAACUAAUAAAGAUGAUGGGAGAAUUCAUCACUAGUGAGUUUGGAUUUUUCCUAACGCCUCCUAAUGUAUCCUAGGUUAAUAAUCUCAACUUCCAGCUUCUUAAGGAUCCGUUGAGGUCGUUUUGAGACAUAUGUUUGUUAAGAAUAAAGAACCAAGAUGUUUGGGCAUUUCAGAUUCGACUCUCCGAUCUUUAGAUAACAUUGAUGAUCCUCAAUAACCUUGGUUUUGCCGCUGACUUUAAUCAUCUUGAUCCAAGCAUGCUGAUCCAUCAAAUUUAACCGGGGAUAAGAAGCUUGUUUGGGUCUUAUCUGGUCCCGGAGCUGCUCGCACAAUUAACGAAAGUUAAAAGCAAUUUGAUGUGGCUCCCCCGGCCAUGCCGUGGCACCUUUUGAUUGGGUCUGGCCACGGCAGACCAACAAACCCGAGCCCACAUGGAGCUUAACCAUAGGCUCGAGCUAUGUGUAACCUCUCGCAAAGUCCUCCUCCCUCUUCCCGGCACAAACUCACUAGUGACGGAACUAUUUCUUCUUCUUCUUCCAACGCCUCCUCUUCUUGAAGUCUCCGAAUCGGAGUCGCCAACUGUAAGUUAUCACGCAUUGCGCGGGGAAUCGAUAAUCUCGCGAUGAAUCUGUCAAUCUUCUCCUCGGCCAUGGAAGGCAUCGCGUGGAGGGGAUGGUUCUACACGGUGUUCAUUCUGCACUUCGUGCUCGCUUGCCAGUUCCUCCUCCUUCAGCCUCUCGUCUCUGCCCUAGGCACGUCGUUCGCUUAGAUCUGCGAACGGGUGCUGGAUGGAUAUUCUUUGAGGGGUUGUGGCGUGCUCUAAUCGUUCGCGUCUCGAGUCGCCAAUUAGAGACUGGCGAUGAAUUGGUGGAUUCUUUUGUAGGGAUCCCGUCGGGAUAUUCGAGACUAGGCAGGUGUUUGUGCAGGAAAGACGAGAUGAGAUGGACUGAAGAAUCUUGAAAUGUCCCUGCUGGAUCAAAACUCUAGUUUCGGAGGGAUACUUUUGGCUUUUACGUGAUGCGUAUGUUGUACGAUUGAUGAAUUAUUGCCAGCGUGGGGACCGGGGAGUUCUAUCUAAUUCCAGUUCAUUCUCGUCCUGAGGGCGGCGGCAUCGUGGGACUUUUCCAUCGGUUGCUUUUGGCCUCUCUUCUUUUCCCUUUUGUAGCGUUACGUAUGCAAAAAGAGAUACUUUGUUCCUUGUUCGACGAGUAGCGAGUCUCUUCCAAUCCAAACCACCAAAAGAAUAUAAAAAUAAAAAUGAGAGUUGCGAACCUCUUUCUGCUGUUUGACAGUGGUAGAAAGAAAGAAGUGAUGUUCUUUUUUUUUGUUGGGGGGUAGAAGACACCAUUCCGAUUUGAGUUUAUAGUUGAGGAGUGUUUAUUUAAUGAAAAAUAUAUGAAUGAUUUGAAAAAUAUUUUCCAAAAAAUAGUUGCUUGUAUUAUUUAUAAAAAUAGAUUAAUGAAAAACAUUUUUAUUUUCCAAGAAAAAAUUUAGACAUAAUUUGUCGUUGAUCCCUUUUUUUAGUGAAUCAAGACAGAAAAAGUUUAAAUAUUAGAAAAGGCCAAGCCACACUAAAAAAAGCCUUUGCUGUUUUAGUUAUGAGUGAAUCGAGGUUUACGUGUAAGAUUUCAACUCAGUGACUAUUUUUUUAUUUCUCUGGAUUCUCUGGAGAGCUAAGCUAUAAAGUAACCUGAUAAUGGAAUCGACAAACUUAUUACAAGUUACAUAGAGUAUAACAAAAGUUCCAAAUGCUGCUCACAAUUUCAUUCCCUGUAAAAUCGGUACAUCUAUUCUCCAUGAGAAGCACAUAGUACGUGUCCCUCCAUUAUUGGCAAAACAACCAUAAAAAAACCCCCCAGCAGAGCCAGGGUGAUCACUAUCUUUCCUUCAAGCGUCUGUGUUUACUAAUACAGAGAGAGAGAGAGAGAGAGAGAGAGAGAGAGAGAGAGAGAGAGAGAGAUUCCCAGAAUGUGGGAGCUUUGUGAACAUGGUCAACUGGACUUACUGGAUAAAAUCAUCGUCAAGCUAAGAGGAAACGCCCCUGAAAGAUUAGUUUAGCCAAAAUCUGAUGAACCGUUAGACCCAUGUUCUGAGAAGUCAUAGCUAGACAAUUGGAUAUAUCCUACAAUCAAGACCCUAUGCAUAUCCAUAGAGGGUGAUAACUAUCUCAUCAUACAACGUCAGGUCCCUUGAUUUUGAAUUAAUGAUCACACGAUGCAAAAGCCUAUUGCUCAUCGGAAACUCAAUUGGAUCUCCCAAGGCCCUCUAAUAGGGAGCAUAACGGGGAAGCAUUAUUCCACUUCUUGUUAAAGGGUUGCUAACUCCCAGUCCUCAGCACUACAGGAGAGUGUCGCCACAAUAAAUGGAACUUCCACAGGAGCGCACGCAAAUCUAAGGACCAGAGCUAGUCAGUAAAAUCUUCAAUACUCAUUGUAAUAGGCUUUCCUUCGAAUAGCAGACAGUAGGAAUGUACAACUAGAACCCUGUGGAAAAGUUGAGUCGAGUUGUGGAGGAGAUCUAUAUUGAGAGGAAAUAGGAAAGUCCUACAAUAAUAAAGAUCAAUUGAUAUCCCAGGAACCAGACGCCAUUGAAAAACAAAAGGAAGCACGGCACCAUAAAGUCUAGAAGAUGGGAUCACACAAUCAAAUUAGGUAGCUUCUUCAACCACCUGAUAAAUCAGAAAAAGGGCCAUCAUCACCAUUUGCAGUUCAGAAUCUAUAUAGCAAAGGCUAUGACUAGGCUAAAAUUAGUCAUCAACAUCUAACUAAACAAAGCCCCUCUAAAAUAACUACCAGAAGACUACAUAACCUGUUUUAUUCUGGAAAAAUGAAGAGAAGGCUACAUAACCUCUUGAGCACCUGUAUUUAUCAACUCAAACAUGACUGAAAAGGGGACUCACAUGAGAAUUUCCCAGAGAGAAGAGAGAGAGAGAGAGACACUCAUGUAGGUGGAUGCCACAGGAUCCGGCCAUCCUUAC